RNAcentral lists this long non-coding RNA (45519 nucleotides) under Gossypium barbadense (sea-island cotton). Its description in RNAcentral is "long non-coding RNA (GBAR_LNC009488)". Lineage: Eukaryota; Viridiplantae; Streptophyta; Magnoliopsida; Malvales; Malvaceae. The record is from RNAcentral.
UUUUUUUCCUUUUUUUUUUUUUUGUUAAUAACAGCAAUAUUUAGAUGCCUAAUAAUUUAGUUUUGGAACUUCCAAGUUAUAACUUACUCAUCCUGACGGGUCCCAACUCUUUUGCCUUCGCUCUUAGCACAUGCUUCUGAAUCUUACCUGUGGCCGUCUUUGGCAGUGGACCAAAUAUCACUGAUUUUGGAACCCAGUAUGCAGGCAUCUUGGACCUGCAGAACUUCAUUAUGUCUUCAGCUAACCGUUGUUCAUCGGAUUUGUCCACCCCAGGCUUCAAGGUCACGAAAGCACAAGGUGACUCUCCCCACCGCUCGUCCGCCCUUGCCACCACCGAUGCCUCCAUUACUGCAGGGUGCAAAUAGAGACUGUUUUCCACUUCCACGCUGCUGAUGUUUUCGCCUCCCGAUAUGAUUAUGUCCUUCGACCUAUCUUUUAUUUCAAUGUAUCCAUCUGGAUUUUUCACACCCAGAUCCCCGGAGUGAAACCAGCCAUUUGCGAAUGUUUCCUCAUUUGCUUUCGGGUUCUUUAAGUAGCCUUUCAUCACAAUGUUACCGCGAAACACUAUUUCUCCAAUGGUUUUUCCAUCAGCAGGUACGGGCUGACCAGUUUGAGUACUAAUGACAUCUAGGCACUCUAAACCAACGUAUCGGACACCUUGACGUGCAUUUAGACGAGCUUGAGUUUCAGGUGGUAGGGAGUCCCAUUCAGGCUUCCAUGCACACACUGUAGAAGGACCAUAGGUUUCGGAGAGACCGUAAGUGUGGGUGACUCGGAAACCUUUCUGGGACAUUCCAGCAAGGACAGAAGGAGGUGGGGCUGCACCAGCUGUCAUUACACGAACAACAUGGGGGAGGGGCAGAAUGGUUUCCUCAGGCGGGGCAUUAACUAUGGAAUUGAGAACCACAGGUGCAGCACAGAAGUGAGUCACCCUGUACUUCGCGAUGGCCGAGUAUACGCCCUUCGCUGUUACCUGCAGAUACGAAAGAAACAAAUAGGGGCAUCAGUAAGCUUAAGCUAUGAUCAUAGAUAAAGCGCACAACUUUCGCAUCCACAUUGUUUAUAAUGGACUAAAGACUUCUCAAAGUCUGAAUCUCUGAACUGAAAUUAUGACAUACAUAAAAAUAGAACAAUGAAUCCAACACUUUAGAAUUUCUACAAAAUCACACCAAGAAACAAUAAGCUAUUAUUUAGACAAGAAAUUACCUGUCGGAGGCAUAUGUUAGUUCCACAAACAGCUGCAAGUGUCCAAGGAAAACACCAACCAUUACAAUGGAACAUGGGCAGAGUCCAUAAAUAUACAGCUCCUUCAUUCAUUUCCCAUAUAAUAGGAUUACUCAAAGCCAUUAGAUAUGCCCCUCGGUGAUGUAAUACCACCCCUUUUGGGCUGGCUGUCGUGCCGGAAGUAUAGCCCAAAGCAAUGCUUUGCCACUCAUCUUGAGGAGGCUUCCAAGCAAAGUCAGGGUCACCACUUUCUAAGAACUUCUCAUACUCAAUGGCUCCUUGCCCCAAAGCAUACUUAAGUGUUUCCGGGUUGCAGCUUUCGUCAGCAAUGACAAUAACAAGCGGAGGUGUGAAAUUGCCUUGGCUUUUCUCCUUCAUGAUUCUCAAAGCAUCCUCUGCCAAAUUGAAAAACUCUUGGUCCACAAUGACGACGGUGGAUUGUGAAUGACCCAAAAGGAAAGCAAUGGUUGAUGCAUUUAGGCGAAUAUUGAUGGUGUUUACAACAGCACCAGACAUUGGAAUCCCAAAAUGAGCUUCAUACAAAGCAGGAAUGUUUGGUGCAAUUAUGGCUACCUGCCAAUUUUUAAAAAAAAAAAUGAAUACAAGCAAUAGAACCAUUUAAGUUGCAUAAAAGACAGUCAUUAUAUAAAGAAUCCAUCCACAAUUCUCUGGAGCAGAAAUUAAUAUGCUUUCAAUCUAGUAAAUGAUACUCAGAUUUCUCAACUAUGUAUAAACAUAUAAGAAGUCAGUACGUAACUAAUCCACCAAAAAGAAAACCUUAAAAUUCCAGAUUCAAUAGAUUAACACAACUGGCAAUCCCCAUAUCAAAUUUGGGCCACGCAUCAAGCAUUAAAAGCAGUAAACCUUCUAUCUUUUUUUUUUCCAAAUUAAAAACUUCCAUCUUAUUCCACUAAUAAUACCAUAAUAACAAGUAAUGGAACAACAGCAUGGGACCAACGAGACCGGCUAAUACUAAACACGAUUCCAUGAAAACAUUAUGACAUACAUGACAUGAUACAAAUGUACCAAAUGUUUCAAAAAUCAUUAUAAUACAAAUUAUUAAUAUAUUAAAUUUUAUAUAAUAUAAUAAUAUCUUAAACAUUCACAGCAUAGAUAUAAACGUCAGAAGAUACAAAUAUACAAAAUGUCUCAAAAUCUAUACAAAUCCGAAUUAUUAUUAAUAAUAUAAAAUAUCUUACUCUGCAAAUCACACCGAUAAAUACAUGAAUUACCAGAUUUAGACCAACUCCACUCCACUAUACAAAAUCUAUGAGUAUAGUUAUACUACUAAAGCUUACUAAUAAAAUCUAAAAACUUUAAAUUUGACAAGGAAAAAGGAAAAGAAUUCUUCCUUUUUUUGUCUUUUUCUUUUUUUAAAGUUUGUUCUCUUUAUUCAACUCAGCAAGCAAAAAAACGUUAAAAACUGACAGAUUUCACUUUAUCCGAAUUUUUUCUAUCGUUAUCGUUAAUAAUGAUGAUAGGCGAUGGAAAAAAAUUUGAUUACCGAGCUACCAACGCCGAUGGAGCUUUUGGAAAGAGCUGAAGCCAAGCGACGGCAACGCUGGUAAGUUUGGAGCCACGUGUACGUUCGAGAUCCAUGGAUCACCGCUUUUCUGGUGGGAUGAACCGUGGCGGCUCGUUCCAAGAACCACAACGGCGUCAAAGCCAUGUAGUUAACGGCGUUCUUUGGAAGGUCGUCGAUGUCUCGCAUCUCCAUCACCGUCGAUACUCCCUCUCCGUCUCCUUCCUGUUUAUCCAAAAAUGAAAGAAAAAAUUCAAUGCUGAGGUUUUGAAGCUGAAAAAGUGAAUCAUUCGUAGUCAGAAUUUAUAGUAGGAAUUGUACGAAACCGCCACGUAGAUUUUCUGUUUAAAUAUAUUGGCGAAAUUUUUAUAUUUAAAAAAUGAAAAAAAUAAUUAUUGACAUUAACAUCACUAGUACUUUCUAUAAAAAUUCAUUUAUUUAAAGGUAUAUUUAUUGAGUUUAUUAUUUGAGUUAAGAAUUCGUAUGGAUAUAUUAAAGAUUUUUAAAUGGUAAGACUAUUGCUUUAAUUUUUUUAAUGUAAGAUUAAAUUUCAAACUACAAGGAUUGAGGAUAAAAUUUUACCUUUCUUUUUAAUUUUUUUAUAAGGUAAAUUUAAAGAAUUUUAUCUCAUAUAAAAAGAAAGAAUGUGAAUUAUCAAAAUAAUAUAUUUUCAAUUUUUUUAGUGUAAAACAAAUAUUUUUUUUCCUUGUUUUUACAUAUACACUGUAUCUAUGGGUUUAUAAUUUUAGAAAAGAAAGUUCCUACUCUAAGGGAUCAGAAAUGGAAAUAUUUGAUGUUUAUCCCAAACCGUCAUUAAAUUUGAUAUACAUUGAUGGUAAUAAAUUUUACCAUUUAUGUCAAUACAUUUUCUAUAUUUUAAUGCUUUACUAAACGAUUUUUAAUGUAAAAGUGUAAUUAUAUUCCCGUAAUUAUAAAUAAUUGUAAUUUUUUAAAUGUGUUUAACUGAUAGAGUAUAAUUUAUAUCGUAAUUUCAUAUGUCAUAUUUGAUGAUACAAAUUAUAAUUACACAGUUAUAUAAUUUAUAUUUUAAAAAAUAUUAAUUACUAUAAAAAUAUUAGUAUGAACAUGUAAUCAAAAUUAAAAUCAAAUCACCAUAUAUAUUAUGUUAGUAUAAAAAGAGGAAAUGAUAAUAGGGGUGAGCAAAACUCAAUUUGAAAAAAUAAAAUAAAAAUCGAAUUUUUAAUUAACCGAAUCAAAUUGUUUGAAUUAUUCGAGUCAACUCAAAUAAAUAUUUCCAGUUUUGAAUUCGAGUCGAGUUCAAUUUUACAAUUCGAAUAAUAGAUUGAUGUAUAAAUACCCUUUUGGUCACUAUCAAUUUUGAAAAUGAGUAAAUUAGUCUCUCUCUGAACAAAAAUUACAAAAUAAUUUAAAAUAAUUUUUAAAUUUCAAAAUAUUUAUAAAAAUUCUAAAAUAUAUCUAAAGAAUAUAUAAAGAAAGUUAAAAUUUUUAAAAAUUUCUAAAAUAAUAAUUUUAGGGACCUAAAUAAGUUAACUAAUGAUUCAAGUUUAUCAUACUAAAAUAUAUUAUUUUUUAUUAUUUUGUUUUGAAAUUUUUUUAAAUAUAUAUGGUUUUAAAUGUAUGUGCUCUAACAUGAGAUUAGUUAUACUGUAAUAAGAUUUUAAUUUGAUAUGUUUAAUUUUUUAAUUUAACUCAAACAAUUUCACUCGAUUUUAUUUGAUUCGACUCGACUUAAAUUUCAUUUUACUCAACUCGAUUAAAAAAAUUUAAAUCAAGUUAAUAUGAUAAAAUAGGACUGGUCAACUCGAUUAACUCGAAAUUUUUUUCACUCGAUUCACAAUUUUAUCUAAUUAUUCUAAUGCAUAUUUGUUGGGUUAUUCCAUCUUUAAUAUUUAACAUAUGUUCAUUAUCAUCAUUUGUUGGUCCUUGACUAGGUUAAUCAUCAUCUGAAUUUGAAUCUGUGUCAUUAAGGUUAUCUAGAUCUAUUUUUUCCAUAUAAUCUUUGAAGUAUGAAUAAUCUCAAUUCUGCCUAUAAUUCAAAUUAUGAAAUAUGUAACAUACUAGUAUGAUUCAACCUUGUUUUAUGUUAUACUAAGGUGAUAUUGUUAAUAUGGAAAAUAUAUUUUUUAAAACAACAAACGUCUCCUCAACCAUAUUUCAAAACAUUAGAUGUAUCAAAUUAAAGAGUUUGUGAGUUGUCUAUGGUACUUGUGUCUAACAUCAUUCUCUUAAAUGGUAUUAUACCCUACAAUAUGAUACAAUAACUUUUUUUUUUGUAUUUGCAUAAUUAACACCAACUUUAUAAUAUUUAGGUUCAAAGUCCAAAUAGAAUAGGCUUUAAUUAUUAAAUUUUAUAUAAAUUUAAUUUGAACAAACACUUAAGCUAUAUCCCUUUUUAUAAUAUGUAAAUUAAGUCAAAAUAAUAUAAAAUGCAUAAUAUAUAACCUUUAUAAAAAAUAUUUUAUAAAUUGUUCAAUAACUUUCAAACACUUCUCAUAAAUAAUACUUUUUUGCGAUAAUUUUAGAAAGUUAUUUUUUAUAAAUAAAUUAUAAUUGAAAAAUUAUAACAUUUUUUAUGUAUAAGUAUAUUAUUUCUAUAAUAUAUAACAUGAACACAUAAAUAAGUUAUGUACAUACUUCUCGACCAUAAAUUUUUAUAAAUAUAUAUAUUAUAACAAUUUUAUAAUAAUCAAAUUAUUUUUUUCUAAAAAUUUUUUUAGCCUUUUAACUUUAGAAAUAUUUUUAGGAUUUAAAUAUUAUAUAUUUUUUGCUAUAACUUUAUAAAAUGUCUCAACUAUUUUUAUAAUAUAAAUUUUUAGGAUUUAUAAUAUAAGAAUUUUUUUUACCAUAACCAACCGAAAUAGUUAUACAUGUUUAUAAUAUAAUUUUUAUAACUUCUAUAAAAUUAUUUUUUAAAAAUUGGAUUUAAGUGUAAUUAUUCAUGUAUGUCUCCAAUUCUCACCCUCCUCUAAGAAUUAAAAAGUGUAAUAUGAGUGCUCCAAUUACACAUAAUUUAGCGGGACCCAUCAAUCGCCAUGAUUACAUAAACUUGUCAAUUAUUAUAUAAUUACAAGCAAUUACACUCAACUACAAUUAUUAAGUAUUUUCCAAAUACUAUCUAAAUAAAUUUUGAUAUGGAUAAGGGAGUGAUUAUAUUACAAAAAAUUAUAUACUAGAGAGCCUAAAAUAAAAUUUUAUAAAUUAUUUUGGAAAAAAGAAAGUAAAGUAGAAAACUAAAAAACAUAGGCCAAUCCAAAGGGGCUGCCUUAAAUUUCUGCAAUUAUUUUAUCUAUAUUAUUAUUAAAAAUUUUCAAAAUUACAAAAUAUUUAAAAUAAUAUUUAAAAUUUAAAAAAAGUUAUAAAAUAAAAAUUACUUUUAUAAAAUUUUAAAUUCUUUUAUUUUUCUCUUAUUUUACUUUAAAAAAAGUUGUUUUAAAUUUAUGUGCUCUAAUUUGAGAUUUAAUUAUAUCAGCAAUAAAAUUUUAAUUUAAUUUGUUUAUUUUUUUAUUUAACUUGAAUAUUUUUAUUCGGCUUGACUCAUAUUUCAUUUCAUUUCAAUUAAAUUCACAAAAAUUUUAAAAUAAGUUUGGUUAGUAAAAUAGGAUUUGUCAACCUUUAACUUGAAUAUUUUUUUUACCAAUUCGGCUCAAUUUGGUUAAAUGCUCACUCUAAUUUUAAAAAUGCUAAUGGAGUUAAUAUCAUAAAUCAACCCAAUAUCAAAUCAAUUAGAGAAAUAUAAAAGAAAAAAAAAUCAACUUUAGUACGUGAUCUUAGAUGAAUUUUUUAUGAAAAUUAUAUUAGAUUAAGUUAAGAAUAAUUGAUAUUUUAUUUUAUUUUAAAAAUGACAUUAAAUAAUUAUUGUAUUUAAAAAAUUGCAGAAUACAAAUAACUCUUUUUAAAAAAAAUACACUACCCACUUAAAAAAAACUUCCUUAUCCAAAAAUAAAUUACUAAAAUCCAUCUUAUUAUUCUUUUUAUUUUGUAAAUAUUUUUAAAAUUUUCACCAACUGAUUGUAUAAUGGCUAAUUUUAUUAUUAUUGUUGUAUUAUUAUAUAAAAAAAUAUAGUAAAAUUAUAUUUAGACCUAACAAUAUUUUAUUUAAAAAAUAAGAAUUUGAUAUAUUAAAUUUAUUAACACUUGUAGUUGAUUUUUUUGGUAGAAAUUGUACUAAUAUUUUUCAUUAUAUGUUAAUAAAAUAAAAAAUAAAAAAUUUGGGUGAUUACAAUAUUAAAUAUAAAGUCAGAAUUGUUGAUUGUACUUAAUCUUAUUUUUUAUUUUUGUAAAAUGAAAUAAUUCUAUGUUUAUUUAAAAUUUUAUAAAUGCAACAUUAAUUAAUUGAACAUUUUUUAUAAUUUUAUUUUAAAAUUGAAUAGUCUGAACUACAAUUUUAAAUAAAUCUUAAAAUGGAUAAGUGGUGUUGGUUUUAUAAAAUUUUAUAUAAUUUUUCCUCAAUAUAUAUGGUUAUCUUUUUUUCUACACUGAAUUGUGAUAUUAUAGUUUUUAAAUAAAAAUAACAGAAUUAGUGAAUGGAAACAAUCACAUCACAUCACAUCAAAGCCAUUCCUAAUCGCCCACAGAUUUAUUUCUUUAUGAGUUUCACUGUAUACUCACAAGCGGAUAAAUAUACGUAUCAACAAUUAUAACAUGAGAUUAAAUAAAACAUUUUCAAGUUUUAUUUUCAUUUUUUUCGUUUACAUAUAAAUAAAGCCCAAGCCAAUGAAACUUUGCAAUUAAAGCAGAGGCUUUCAAUUUUCUUUUGGGGUAAAUAUCCACAAUUGAUGAAUACAACAGUUAAGAAGACAAGUGGAUGGCUUUAAAUAACAGUAUUUAGAUUGUUGUUAUUAUAGAUCAAAAAAACUAUUUUUAAGUAAAUGAUUGGUUUUAAUGAUAGUUAUUAUUAUACAUAAAAUAAACUCUUAAUGGGUAGAUUUUUGGAGUCAAAUAAAAAGGAAAAAGUAGUUUAGUGUUAUAGGUUAUGGAUCAAAGUCCGUGAUCAUUGCAUAUAAAGUUGCUUAUAGAGGUCAAUUGAUUAAAUGAGAUACAUGAACUAGCUCGAUUUAUAGAACACAUGGAGAAGCACAUCUACUUGAAGUCUUGUUGACCCAAUGAAACAUUCUAAUAAAACUAGAGUUAUCAUGAUGAAUAUUGGUAAUCAUAAGGGAUAAUAUUAUAUAGAGUUUAAAUCCCUUGGGAUUCUCAUCUUGUAGAUAGGCUUUAAUCUCGACUAUUAAUGUAAUUUAAAGUGUACCAUUGGAUCUGGGGGAGCUCAACUAUAAAUAGGGGUAUUCCCCCUUAUUUGUAGUCAUUCCAUUUUAUACUCAAUGUAAUUCAUUCAAAGUAAUAUAAUACUUUGAGAGCAUUUACUCAAACACUUGAUGUGCAUUUGUUUUCUUGUGGCUUUUCUUUUCGUUUAUUACUUCUUCGCUUGAAAGUUUGUUUCCACUUGUUUUUGGUACCUUAGAGAAUUUCCUUUGAGAAUUCUUACAUUUCUAAUGUUAUGCUGACUUAAGCGGAUGUGAAGCAAAAAAAUUGCCUAAGGCCGCACGAGUCUGCCAUACUAAAGUUCUAGCCCCAUGACAGUUGGUAUUUAGAGCCAAGGUUUGAAGGUGUUGAGUUAGAUGGCGAAAGAAGUACAUGAUCAGAUUGAGCUGAGGGAGACCCAUGAAAAGGCCAAGAAAGUAAGCAGAUCGAGGGAUAUGCUAUCAGCUAUAGAAUGUCGAGUGACCAAUCUCGAGGUAUCUGUAAGUGGUAUGAAGGAAAGUCUUGAUAUAGUUGGAGGACAUACCAUAGGGUUGGAAUCAUGGAAAGAUCAACUCAAAUAAUAGGUGUUGGAUGCCAUGAACAUGAAUAUGGAUGAGAUACAAAGGGCACUCCACUCCACUCCACUAAUAAUAAGUUGAUUGAGAAGAAUGAUGCUCUCUGUCACACCCCAAAAUUGGGCCUAAGAGUUUUAGGGUUAUUUUAGGAAUUUUAGCUCUAGUGUGCUCGAGUAUUUCGUAAGCAUGAUAUUCGAAAAUGUUUUUGUCUAUAGAAUUUUGAAAAUCAAUUUUUUUUUGAAAAUAAUGUUCAAAAGACUUUCAAUUUUGAAAUAAGGACUAAUUUGUAAAAGAGUCUAAAUUAUGAGUUUUAAAAGGCAAUUAAACCAAAUUUUAAUUUUUCACCCUAUUUUCCCCUUUCAUCUUUAUAAAAUCCACGUUAGUCUCUUCUCCAUAUUUUUGUUUUGCCAUCCAUUGUAUUCCAAAGCCCAAACUUAGUUCCUUAGAUUUCUAUCAUUCCCAAGUCAUAAAUAAAUCUCUAUAGUUUUUCAAGAAAAAUAUCCAAAAACACCAUAGAUUUCUCCAUUGCUUAACUUUCGGGUUUUUCGAUCAAACGUUUAGUUUUUCGUCAACUAAGAUAAUGAUUUGAUUCCUUAUUUGUUUUUGAUGUUAUUUGAUUUGAGUUUUUAGCUAUUAAAUCGCAUUUUUUAAAUAAAAGCCGAAAAUUGGAUCGUUAAUGGUGGAUUUCAGGAUUUUGGGUAAAAACGUGGUUUCAAAGUGUUAUUCAAUUAGUUUUGACAUGAUUAAAAGGUUUCUAAACUUUUUUUGAAGUUUUGUUAAAGAUUUAUAAUGUUUUAAUGGAUUUUUGUGAAAAUUGCCAUAAACAUGUUGAAAAUUUUGAUACCAUGAAUUGAGUAGUUUUGCGUUGUUUAAAGGUUGAAAAUUAGCCAUAGGCCAAUAAAUAGAUGAACAAAAUCAAUUUUAGAUGAAAAGAUUAAAUAUAGACCGAGAUAUUUAGAAUUUAAGUUUGCUAUGUCGAAGGUUUCGAUUACUUGAGAACUUAGCUUAGGCUUAUGUUUUUGAUUGCUUGAGUUGAGUCCUUAGCUGAUUUUUUAUUGUGUUGUUGUGUGAUUUAAUGUGUUGAAGCUUUGAAUUCAUUAGGACUUUUAACAAGUUAAAGAAAGGCUAGUUUGAGAUUUCGGCUUUUCGACGAAAGUGUAAUUGGUAAGUGUUUAGAAUAAUUGCUUAUGGACACGACUCAUUACAUUAAUUGGGAUUUUAGAUGUAGCCUAAACCCCUACUCUAAAUUCUAAGUGUAAGCUUUCUCGUACUCUUAAUUUAAUAUUGCUUGUUAAUUGUAAAACUGUGAACUAAUAAGAGAUGUUAUAUUAUAUGAUAUGUGCUCAUGAUUACCUUUGAGAAUGUGCAAAUGUGAGCAUGCUAUACAUGCUAGAUGAUAGUAAUAAUGUUGUGUUAUAAUGUGAUAUUUGCCGUGAAUAAGUGCGGUGAACGGUAAGUAAAUGUGUGUUAAUAACGAAUACUUUGACCUAGUGAACUUGAGACCAUUGGAUAUAGUUGGCAUGCUAUAGGAUUAUGAGUACUCACCGAUAUGUGUUAUGUGAUUUGGGCGUUGACAUGUCGGAGAGAUAAGGGAAUGUAAGCUAAGCUCCAUUCAAUAUGACAUGUUUGGUAUGAUGGAGAGUGUCAGCUAUAUGCUUCACCUUUUAAGAUAUGUUCGACUCUAUGAGUCAUUUGGUGUGUUGGAGAUCCAUGUAUCCGAUGAGUGGUGAUAGAGCCCAUUUUUACGUUUCAUAGCUCAAAUGUCAAAUUAUUUUUAAUUGUCUUCAUGUGUAAUGUGUUAUAUGCCUAAACAUGAAUGUGAAUAAUAUGUAAAUGAGCCAAUAAGUUAAAUAUGACUAAGUAUAAUAUGACAUUAAAGUUGGGACUGUUGUAAUUGUGCUAUAUGAUUGUUUCUUUAAUGCAUGAUGACAUGUUUGCAUGGUAAUUAUUUUGAUCAUUCAAUGAGCUUGUAAAGCUCACCCACUAUUUUUAAUCCAUUUCAAAUUAUAGCAUUUCGGUGUGAGCGGUGUGGUUCCAAGGGAUUGAUCCAAGUAAGUCUUUAGUAAUAUUUUAUAGGUGAUUUAUUAUUUGUUUUUUAUUUGGGAAAUAAAAGCAAUGUGGUAGAACUAUUGCAUAAGUGUUGCCAUGAUGUUUUGGUUAUUUUCAUAGUUUAUUAAUUCUUAGGAUUUAUGGAUACUUUUCUUGUUAUGUCGCUUGGUUACUCGGACAUGUUUUUGAUGAUUGAACUAUUAUUGUGGUUAUUUUGAUGUUUAUUUGACGAGGUAUUAGUUACAUGUUGAAUGAUCUAUGGUUGGGAUGGAUUAUUUGCCUUGUUAUAUUGUAUUUUUGGUGUCUAAAGCAGAUGUAUCAAUAUUCAAAUUUUAAAAAUGAUACCUCUGUGAUAUUUCAUUGCGCAAGAAGUCAGUAUUGUAAUUUGGUAUCGAUACCUUAUCAUGAGUAUUGAUACUCGGGGUAAAAUAAUCGAUACUUUAAUAAAUGUACUGGUAUUUUUUGGGAUUUGAUUUUUAGAUGAGAAACAAAAUGUUGUUUUGAUACUGAUUUUCUAAUCGGUAUUGAUAUUGGGUAAGGAAAAUAUUGAUACCCAUAUUCCAGUAUCGAUACCUACAUAACUUGUUUUGGAAUUUUGCUAAAUGAACCCUAUGCAUGUUCAAUUAUAUUUAUAAGACUAUUUGAUGUAUGUUUAGUAUGUAAUAAAGAUGAUUAGAGUAAGUUUGACUCAAAACUCUUGCAUAUGUUAAAAUGGAAGACCUUUUUUUUUUAAUAAUAAUCUCAUUUAUACUGUGUAUGAUGUGAGAUGGUGGUGUGACAUCCUGAUAUUCAGGUUCGGCGACUAAACUGGGUAUAGGGUGUUAAACUCUCAAAGCUAUGAUGAUGGCUUUGAAGGGGGAAACUGAAGCUAUGGUGAUGACUUUAAACACAAAAAUUAAGGAGCUUGAGGGAAAGCUUGUUGUGUGUAGAGUUAUCGUGGGAAAAAAAAAGAUGUUGAAGGCAACACCCAAACUUAAGAUGGAUGUACCUAAAUCGAAAGAGUUUAAGAGGGCAAGAUCCGCGAGGAAUGUGGACAAGUUAUUUUGUAAGAUGGGAUUGUACUUUCAUGCAAUGAACAUUGAGGAUUAUGUCAUUAAUGUAAACACUGCUUCAAUUUAUUUUACUAAUGUCGCUCUUUUAUAGUGGCGUUGUAGGUUCACAAACGAGAAACAAUAUGGUACUGUAAUUGGGACUCGGGUGGAGUUUUAGAAUAAGUUUAAGAAGCAGUUUUACCUUCAGUAUGCGGGGGAGGAGGCUCUGGCUAAGUUGCAUCGACUUACAAAGUAAGGCACAAUUCGAAAGUAUGUUUGGGAGUUCAUUGAGUUGUUACACCAAAUACCUGAAUUGAGUGAGAAAGAGGCAUUUUACUAGGUCAAGGAUAAGUUUGAAGCCUUGGAAGAAGCAAGAGUUGAGUCGAUUAGGGAUUAAAGAGCUUACCAAAGCCAUGGCCAAGGUGCAAUCCUUUGUCAAGCUUGGUUCGAGGAAAUACAAGUUCAAGUCUUCCAAGCCUAAAGAGAUAGGCAGUGGUGGUGGAGUCUAUGAGGAAGAAUAGGAUAAAAUGACAACGGUGGUAAUGAGAAAUAAUAGAAUGGGAAGAGGAAACCCAACAAUCAUUUGAAGGGCAAAGAGAAUGAAAAGAAGCCAAUAUAGUGCUUCUUUAUUGGAUCUGGUGCCCUGAGUAUAGCAUUUUUAUCUAAGUACACUUGUAAUUUUUUUGAACAGGUUGAUUAAUAAAAUUGUUCAUGAAUUACAUUAGUACUUUGUAUAUUUUCCUUGCUUGUUUUUUACACACAAAGUAAAAUGAAAGCAAAUGUUUCUCACUGGUUGUCUAAUGUUUAACUAAAACUAAAUGGUAUUACGGGGUUGGAUCGUAAUACAAAAAGGCAACUUAUAUUAGUUGACGAACCAAAACAUGUCCUUAGUCUAAUUAGAAAUGAGCAAACCAAUUGAAAGACUAAUAUGUCGUCUAUCAAGUCCAAUUUGAGAGAUGCCUUAUCUUGUGCAUCAAAAUGGAUGACUCCCAAAAGAUAGAGACAUAAAUGUGACUGACUGGACUGGCAGUACAUCGGACAUGACCGAAACAAAAUAGAUCCUAAAUUGGUUUAUGGAUUUAUUCACUUGUGACGUUCAUAAUGUGGCAUACCUAAAUCCUGAGUGUAUGGCAGAUUAUGUAUGUGUGACUCGUACACUUUGAUGUAAGUAAAAUUCAGAGUUCGAAUAGAUAAGAAACCAAAAGUUGGUAUGUUAGGUGUACAACUUUUGUAAUAUGUAGCGUCAUUCAAAAUAGUGGAAUGCAUAGCCCAAAACAUGGGUAAAUGAUAUCCUCUCAUUGGCAUUACAUAGUUGAUGAAAAGUAAACGUGAUCACGGGUUGUCUGUCUUUGUGAUAUAUAACUUGAUCACUAUUUGAUAGUGAUUGACUUUUCAUGAAGGAAGAUGUAAUGAUUACCAUGAGAUAAAAUAGGAUCAUUGGAAGAAUGAAUAUUAACCCAAAGAGAUCAAGGAUAUCCUAUGAGGGUAACUUACUUAUAACAAGGUCAUUGGAUGAGCAUUGAUCAAGUUACUUUCGUAAUGGUAUGUCGUUGAAGAGAGCUCAAUCACGAUACUAUAGUGGAAUAACUUCGUGACUAAAUGAGUUUAUAAUCAAUAGAAAAAAAGCCAGAACUUAAUUAUAAAUCAUUUGAGCCUCAACUACAUAUAUCCAAUUGAUCCCUCCAUUAGCUCAUUGAAACCAUAAAUGAAUUGUGUGUUUAAAUAGAAACGAACAGAAUGAAUAGGAAAAGAGAAAUGAGAAAUGUUCAGGAAUGAUUAUGGUUUUCUUCGAAAUGGAGAAAUGGAAUCAUUUGAAAAUGAAUAUAGGUUUCAAAAAAUGGAAACGGAAAUGAAAAUGAAAAUGGAAAUAAUCCAUUUGCAAUCCUAUAUGGAUUACUUAAAAAUGAUCGGAAGAAUAAAUUUAUGUUUUUGGACUGCUUUGAAGCCCAAAAAUGAAAAUAAACCAUUUGGUCAUAGUGAACAUGUUGAAUUGUGAAAUAUUAAACAUAUUUUCUCGAAAUUUUCUAGGGGAAAAAUCAUCAAAAUUUUACUAGAGGUAAAAUUGUCAAAUUUUUGCUAGGGGUAAAAUAGGGAUGAAAAAAUUGUUUUAUAUAUAAAUAUUAAAGUUUAUUUUGGGAAAUAGAAAAACUAAAUCGGGUUGGAUCACAUUAUAGAGUACUGGGUCAAAAAAGCUUAGGAAGUACUUGUAAUUGGACCCAAUGUGAGAGAGGCCCAAAAACCACUCAUAGACAUAAAGGGGGCAGUAACUCUAGGAGGAAACUAAGGUGUGUCGUCUACCUUAGUACUAUUCUAAAUAAGAUUUUGUUUUUCUAUUUGAAAUAAACCACUACAACUCAACAAUGGUUCUACCUUAUCUUCCUAUAAAUAUAUGGCACUUGUUUAAUAAAAAUAUCUAUUCAUUAUAGUAACACCCUUUGUAUAUUGUCCUUAAUGUUUUUGCAUGCAAAACAAAGUGGAAGCAAAUAUUGACUUACUGUUUAUCUUACAUUUAACUAAUACUAAGCGGUAUCACAUGGCCGAAUUGUAAUACAGAUUGAUGGCUUGUAUUAGUAGAUGAAGCUAAACAUAUCUUUAGUCUAAUUGAAAAUGAGCAAACCGAUUGAAAGACUAAUAUGUUGUCUAUCAAGUCCAAUUGGGGAGAUGCUAUGUCUUGAGCAUUAAAGCGGAUGUCUCCUAGAAGAUAGAGACAAAAGUGACUGAUUGGACUAACAGUACAUUAGACAAGACCCAAGUAGAAGAAAUCCUAAAUUAGUUUAUGGCUUUAUUCACUUUUGACAUUCAUAGAAUGACAUACCUUAAUCAUUAAUGGAUGAUGAACUAUUUAUACGCGACUCGUAUAAUUUGAUGUAAGUAAAAGCCUAAGUUAAAAUAUAUAAGGAAUCGAAAGUUGGUGCAUUGGGUAUACGACUUCUGCAAUAUAUAGUAUCAUUCACAAUAGUGAAAUUCGUAGCCUAAUUAAUGGGUAAAUGAUAUCUUCUCAUCGAUAUUUCAUAUUAGAUGAAAAGUAAACAUAGCCACCGGUCGUUUGACUUUUUGAUAAAUGACUUUAUUACUGUUUGAUAGUAAUUGACUUUUUAUGAAAGAAGAUGUGAUGAUUAACAUAAGAUAAAAUAGGACCAUGUUGGGAGAAUGAAUUUAUCCUAAAUUGGUUAAGGAUGCCCUAUGAGUGUAAUACACUAAUGAUAAGGUCAUUAGACAAGCACUAAUUAAGUAGCUUUCUUAAUGGUAUGUAGUUAGGAAUAGCUUAGUCACGAGACUAUAGUGGAAUGACUUCAUGACUAGAUAAGUUUAUAAUUAAUAAGCGAAAAGUUGAAAUUUAAUUUAUAAAUUAUUUGAGCCCUAAUUACAUAUGCCCAAUUGAUCCCUCUACAAGUUCUUUGAAACCAAAAAUGAAUUGCAUGUAAAAUCAAAUGAAUAGAAAUGAUGAAGUUAAAGAAAUGAGUCGCAUUCACAAAUGAAUGAAUUUUAUCACUGAUUUUAAAAAUGACUUGAGAAUUAAUUUAAUGUCUUCAAAUUAUCAUUUAAUUAAUUUUAAUUAAAUAAUUUAAGUUCAAAAAUAGAAUUAAAUUAAUUAUUCAGUAUUAAUCCAUUGAAUAUGUAAAUUAAAUAUAUUUCAUACUAGUUUCUUUUAUAGUAAAAUUGUCGUCACUUUAUUUUAUAGUAAAAUCGUCAUUACUUUGAUGGAAUUAGAAUUGAGUUGAGAAAAUUAUUUACUUGAUAAAUUAAUUAAGUAAAUAAUAUUUUUUGGGGAAUAGAAAACAAAUAUUGAGUUGGAUUAAAUUAUAAAGUGUUGAAUAAAAAGUCUAGGAAGCACAUAUAAUUGGACCUAAUACAUGAGAGGUCCAAUUCUUCUCAUUUUACAUAUGAGGGACAACAACCCUAGUGUUUUUAUCUAGGGUGUGUCACCCCCUUUUUCUAGUUAGACAAAGAGAGUUAUUAUUAUUAUUAAAUAUACAUUUUGUGUUAUACUUAUUCAACCAAGAUUCUCCUAUCUCAUUCUAUAAAUAGAUGGCACUGGUAAAGCCAUUAACACAUAAGUUUCAAAUAUUGUUCUUAUGUCAAAAAGUAUAAAAUUUUAUUUUCUUAGAAUUAAAUUUUAUUUUUUGAAAAUAAUAAUUUCUACCGGUUUCUAUUGAGAGAAUUACUUUUCUAUUGAAAGUAAUAAAUCGUUUUUAUUUUUUUGUUUGGUUCUUGUUAUUCGAGUCCACACUCGAUGUCAUUCGAGGUACGAGGAUAGUGGAGAAGGUCGUUCGGUUGAAAACUGAGAACGUUUUGGAUUUGUCUUGCACAAAACAUUGAUAAUUUUCGAGAAAAUAUUUACUACUAUAAAUAUCACAAACCGUCUUGAUUUUAAAAAAAUUUAGACUUUUGUUGUAACCGAAAAUAGUUUAAAUAACCAAAAUUUUUCAACAGAUUGCUGAGUUAUUAGUGGGGCUACCACCUAUGAGAGGUGGGUUUUGCAUCUAACUUCACGGGUAAAGAAGUGGUGCAAACUGGGAAGUUAAAUCGAGUAAAUGCUACGAGCGAGGUACAUCGCAAACACUUAUCUAGUGUUUUUCAUUAUGACUUACCAUUUCUUUCGCAAAGACACAGGGGACUUUUUAGAGUUUUGAAGCAAGUAAGUCAAUGGGCUUACAAAACGGAGUUGGCGGCAAUACUCAAGGUUAACCAGUGUUCAAUGUGGGCAUGACAGAGCCUAUUUGUAUGGAUCAAAGGGAUCCCUAAUCAAGGAAAGUCACAAUAGGGGCAAGUAGGAGUGGUGGGCUCUUGCAAAUGAAGUGUAAAAAUAUGAGGAAUAGUUUGAGUUAGACGACGAAAACAUAAGAAGAGGUAAAUGCUCUAUUGGAUCUGGUUCCCUAAAUGUAGUAUUUUCACCUAUGUAUACAUGUAAUUUUUUGAACAGAUUGGUUAAUAAAAUUAUUCAUGAAUUACAUUAAUAGUUUAUAUAUUUUCCUUACAAUUUUUUUGCAAGUAAAGCAAAAUAAAAGAAAAUGUUGCUCACUAGUUGUCUAAUGUUUAACUAAUACUAAGUGGUAUUACGUGGUUGGAUUAUAAUACAAAAAGACAACUUAUAUUACGUGGUGGAAUGACUUCGUGACUAAAUGAAUUUAUAAUUAAUAGGUGAAAAUUGGAACUUAAUUAUAAAUCAUUUGAGCCUCAACUGUAUAUGUCCAAUCGGUUCCUCCGCUAACUUGUUGAAACUAGAAAUGAAUUGCAUAUUGAAUCAAAUUUGCAGAAAUAAAUAGAAAUGGUGAAAUAGAGAAAUAGAAAACAUUUGGAAAUGAUUAAGGUUUUAUCCAAAAUGAAAAUGAAAAUGUAGAAAAUGUGGUUUUCUCCAAAAUGAAGAUGGAAAUAGAAAUGGGAAUGAAAAUGAAAAUGCGAAAUGAACAAUAAUUUCUCAAAAAUGAUCAUAAGAUUGAGUUUAUGUUUUCGAGUAAUUUCAAAGCUUGAAAAUUGAAAAUAAACUAUUCGAUCAUAAUGAAAAAGUUUAAUUAUGAAAUAUUAAAUACAAUUUCAAAAAUUUUACCAAGGGUAAAAUCAUCAUAAUUUUAUUGAGGGUAAAUUGGGAUGAGAAAAUCAUUUAAUUUAAAUAUAUUGAAGUUUAUCUUCAAAAAUAGAAAAAUAUAAUUGGAUUGGAUCAAAUUAUAAAGUACUAGGUCGAAAAGUUAGCGAAGUACUCGUAAUUAGACCUGAUGUGAAAGAGGCCAAAAUCCUCUCUUGGAAUAUGAAGGGGCAGCAACCCUAGUAGGAAUACUAGGGGAUGCGUCCACCCCACUCCUACUCUAAGUAGGAAGUUAUUUUUCUAGUUGAAAUAAACUUCUACAAUUCAACAAGGUUCUACAUUCUCUUCUUAAAAAUAGAUGGCACUGGUAGAGCUAUUUACACAACUUUUGGAUAUCGUUAUUCUACCCGAAAAUAGAACGACUUCUAUUCUCUAAGAAAUAAAUAUAUUUUCUGGAAUAAUGAUUCUGCUGAUUUCUAUUUAAAAAGAGAAUUUUUCAUUUUAACCACAAAAGAAAAUAAAACUAUUUCUAUUUUUUGUGUUUAAUUCGAAUUGUUCGAACCCAAACUCGAAGCAAUUCAUGGUACAAGAAUAGCGGAGAAGAUCAUUUGGUUAAAAAUCGAGAACGGCAAGGAUCCUUUUAUUCGAAAACAUAGGUAUGGUUUCAGUCUAGGGUUUAUUGCUAUAAAUAUUACAAACUGAGUCAAUUUUUAAAAUUUUUAUUCUUCGCUAUGCAAGAAAACCAUUUUCGAACUAGAUUUUUUCCAACAUGUUCUAAGGAAAGGAACUACCCAAUACAAAGACUAGUUAGGAAUCAGCCAUGACAUUCAGGAAGUUCUUGGAUGAGUUAAACUAGUGUUAUUUCAAAAAUACAAUGAGGGCGUCGCGAGAAUGGGUGGGAGAAAUUUUCACGAGUCAUAGAUGAAAGCCCAUGACCAUUGCGCAUAGAAUUGGCCACAGAGGUCAAUUCUAGGCUCAUUUAACCCACACAAAUUGGCCUGAUUCGUGGAACAAAUUAAGAAGCCCAUCUACUUAAAACCUUGGUGGCCCAAUGAAACACUCCAGUAAAAUUAGAGUUACUAUGGUGAAUAUUUGUAAUCCUAAGGGAUAAGAUUAUAUAGAGUUUAAAUUCCUUAAGACUCUAAUAUUAUAGAUAGGCUCCAAUGAUACUAUUGUUUCGUACUAUUAUGGAAGAAGAUUCAAAUAUGUUAUUAGGUGUUCCAUUUUAUUUUCCCAUUAAGGCCGAACCUAAACAUGUGCUCAAGAGAUAGUUAUCCAUACACUGAAAAGGAUAUAAGGGUUAUUGAGAAGAGAAGAGUCAUGGUGGUCCCCUUUGGAUCGCCCAGAUCCCAUGAGUGAAUAAAAAGUUGGAUCUAUAUUGGAUCUCACCUCGAUCGUCAAUGUAAUUUAAAUUGUAUUAUUGGAUGUGAUAGGUGCUUAACUAUAAAUAGAGGUCUUCUCCCUCGUUUGUAAUCAUUCCAUUUUGCACUCAAUGUAAUUUAUUCAGAGUAAUAGAAUACUUUGAGAGCAUUUAUUCAAACACUUGGUCUGCAUUUGCCUCCUUGUGGGUUUCUAUUCAUUCAUUGCUUAUUCGCUUGAGAGUCUACUUUUGCUUAUUGUCAUCAAGUCGAGUGAUACUAGACUCAGUCAACCCCUUAAUAAUAUUAUAGAUGAGUAAGGAUUGUAUGAAACUGUGAUUCCACGUCAUCUAUGUCACUUUCCAAUAGGAGAAUGACAAAUCAGAUUUUUUCUCCUGAUUUUUAGCAUUUUUAGUUGGAUUUGAAUUCUUUUAGGAGAAAAAAUCUAAUUUGUCAUUCUCCUAUUGAAAAGGGAUAGGGAUGACGUGGUUUCACAAUUUCAUACAAUUAUUUCUAUAUUAUAGAUAGAUAAAUAGAUAAAUAAUAGACAUUAGAUUAGUAACACUAAGAAUAUAGGUAAAGAAAAGAAUUAUAUUAAAAAUGUAUUUAUAUAAAAUUUAUUCAACUAUUGAAUCAUAGGUGGAGUGAUAAAUUAUUUAGAUAUAAAUUAAUUUUGGGUUUAAUCCCUAGAUAUUUAGUUUCUAAUGGUGAUUUCUAAUUUGUUUUAUUUAAGCAUUUUUAUAAAUAAGAAAAUACAAUUAUAAUAAUAGUUAUCACUUUUUAAAAAUUUGAAUUGAUGGCUUGAAAUACUAAAUUCAGUAAAAACUAUUAUUACAGUAUAGAUACUGUACGUUCCAUACUUCUGGCAAAAACAGAUGUAAUAAUAAUCUAUACUACCAAAUAGAAAAGGAAGUCUCUAAAGCCUUCCUGCAUGACAUUUGUCCAUUGCCUUUUUUGGUUAAACCCUUUAAAAUGAUUUAAAUUUAGUUUUGAUUUCUACACUUUUUACAAAAUUUGAGAUUUAUUAUUUAUAUUUUAGUUUUGAUAUGAUUUUUAUAAUAUUAUCAUUUAGUUUAAAUAUUUUAUUUGAAUUAAAAUAUUAUUGUAAUUUUUUUAAGAAUUGUUAAUACAGUUAAUGUUUUUCUUUUUCUUUUUUUGUUAAUAUUAGGUUCAUUAAAAUGGUAUUUUAACAAUUUUAAUAACUGAAUUUAAAUUUUUAAUUUCAAAAAGUAAUUCUAAAUUUUAAAUAUACAAAAAAUAUAAAAACUUAAAAGCAUAUUAUAAUUUAUAAAUUUUUACUUUAUAAUUUAAUAAAAAGAAUUAAAUAAUUAAUCUAAUGAGAAGUCCAUACGAGUGAAAUAUUAAUCUCUGAAGAAUAAUCAAAUAUUCAGGAUUAAGUAUAGUAAUGGUAACAGAACGGAGCGGAUUUUUGCUUACUCUGGCUUGAUGUUCUACCACCAUGUCCCAACCUGAUCCUAACCUCAAAAAAAGAAAAAGAAAAAAGAGUUAACUUGCCUCGAAUCUGCACUAAAAAAUAAUUGUAUAUCCUACCAGAAUUCAAUUUUUUUUUUGAAUUUGUAAUGAAUUAAUUUUAAAAAAAUGGCACUACUUCCCAUUGAAUUUGUUGCGUUCUUUUUUCUUUCUAACUUCGAAUUUGUUGGGUUCAUGAUUUACUUUUGGAGCUACUGUGAUUUACAACAAAAACAAAUCUUGAGAUGCCUAAGUAACAUUUUGUGAAUGUUUGUGUGGGUGCGAUUUACAUUAAAAAGAUGAAAAAGAUAGGGAAAAUAAAUUGGUAUGAAAUGAAAGUAAAUCCAGUAAAAUAAUGUUAAUUUUUUUUAAAUAUAAUUAAUAUUAAAUAUAUAAAAGGACAACACGAAAUGCGGGGAUUUCACACUAAACCCAACCUUACACCAAUCCACCGGAAACCUGAUUUAAAAAAAAAAAACUGGAUUCAUGUACUCAAAACUUUUGGGUUGGUGGUCUUUUCCGUCCCUAAACUUUAUAGUUGAAAAAUUAGUGAUAACUACGAUCUCAAUUUGCGUAAACCAACGUGUAAUUGAGUAAAUAGUGGAACUUACUACAUCCAGACAAACAACAAUUGGGUUUGAAAUUGGCAUCUUAUCAUUCGGGAAAGUUGAAAUUCCAUUUUACUUCAUCACAGGCAGACAAAAAUCCUAAGUCGCCUAAUUUGACUAUUCAGCUUUGCAUCACAACUUGUAUAAAUGUAUAGGUUAUUCCUUAUAUUUAUUAGUUUGAAUUAAAUUAUUUAUUUAAUCAUUUUAUGUUGUAUAAUUCGGAAAAACUUGGAUCACAAAAUUUCAAUUUAAUGUCAAUAAAGAAAUUUUGAAAAUUUAACUUCAAGUUCCACCCAUUUAUAAUCAUAAAUUAUAAAUAAUAAAUAAGAAAAUUAAGAUGUUAUGUAAGAUUGCCUGGGACACGACCGUGUGAAAUUACUUUGAAUGUUACACGGUUUCUCACAUGGUUGGCCACACGGCCAUGUCCCUGAGCCACACGGCCAUGUGACCUCUAUUUUCAAAUUUUUCAAAAUUUUCUGUUUUUGUUUCAAAAUGGUCCUAGAAUGUUUCUAAAUUAUUUUUAGGGUCUCAUAGGCUCGAUUUAAAGCCAUUAAGUGUAUAUUAUUUUAUAAAUGAAUUGUGUAAAUGAAUGUUAGAAAUUAAAUUGAUUUAUUUGUUUCUAUUUGGGAUUUAAUGUUCGAAUUGUACUAUAAUGCUGCACAACUCUAAUCCAACAACAGAGACGGGAUAGGGGUGUUACAUCUAAAAUGAACUUUUUAACUUCCCAUUGUAGUUUUUGAGAACAAUGUCAAACACCUUAAAUUAACAAAUCACACUUUUUCACAACGCUUUUCUGUUGCACUUUCUAAAAGCACUUUUUCUAAACUGAGCUUUUCAAAAGCACUUAUCAAUUGCACUAGAAAUGUCAAAUUGGCCCUUAGCAUGCUUUAAAGUGCUCUUUUAGUGUGCUUAUUAGAUCCUAAAGGCUAUCUAGUACCUCUUCAAGAAAGAUUGAAGGUUGAUUUAGGUAAUUUUAGCAUAAGACUUGUGUCUAAGGCCACAAGUAACAUUCCUGGUAUUUUUCGAGAAGUGAACAAUGUCAAUUUGGGUUCAUAUGUACUCAAAAUUUUCAAAUAUGAAAAAAAUAGAAUUAAUAAUAUUAAUAGAAAAGGUGAUUGGACAUUUUAAGAAAUUAAAAGGACUUCUGAAUUUAGGAAAUUUAAUUCAAGGAAUUUACUAAAUUGUAAAAGUGUUGGGCUAUAGCAUUAAAACUAAAAAUAUGAAAUAAGUAGAUAAUAAGGAUUGGAAACAUAAUUAUAACAAAAGGGAGUGAUGUGAAAGGAUGAUGGAUAGAUUUUUUUUAGAAAUUAUUAAACUAAUGAACAAUAAUGUUUGGAUGUUCAAAUCCUUAUGGUUUUAACUAUUAAAAACUAACGUGAUUGAUGAAAUAAUUAAACAAUUACACGUAGCGUGUCAAAUGUACCUUAUGUGAAAAUUUUAAAAUUUUCAUAAAACUAAAUCCAUAUUGUGUUAUCUAUGACAAUAAAUUUUAUCAAAAUUAGUACUUGUGUUUUGGAAUCACAAGACUCGUCGAAUUCCUGACUUUCUACCAAAUGAUCUUCUCCGUUAUUCUCGAACUCUCGAUUGGUAAGAGAGUAAGCUCUUAACCCAAACUGAUCACAAAACAAAAAUAAUAACUUUCCAGUGGGAAAAAUUCAACUUUCUUUAGGUCAAAACAUAGAACCGAGUACUUAGAAAAUUUAGAUAUUAUUUUUUAACUAGUAAAUUUUUCUAAAUCUUGAUAGAGUGUCCAUGUAUAUGAUGCGUGUGUUUUUGGGUCACCCAUGGCCCCUUUAUAUAGAAAAAAAUCAUAAGAUUUCUAUUUGAACAGGAGGAGAGGAAAAAUAAUAUUUUAAUAGAAAACUCAGAGUCCCUCCAAGAUAACAUAUGGUGGGCGGCACUGGCACUUAGGGAUAUCAGUGUGCCAUCCAUCCCUUCUUCAAGAUAUGUUGUUUGAGCUUUUCAUAUAUGGAGUACAAUUAUAUAUCUAUAAACAAAUUUUAAUAUUAAUUAAAACAAGCUCAUAUAAUUAUCCAACCUAAUAAUCAGUUUUCUAUUCCCAAAAUAUUAUUUAUUUAAUUAAUUAAAAAUUAAUUUAUUUUCUCAAUUCAGUUUUAAUUUUGCCAAAGUAAUGAUGACUUUAUCGUAUUAAAAUUUAUGAGUAAAUAAAUUUAAUUUUCUCAUUAAGUUAAAAUAUGAUGACUGAUUAAUUUAAUUUUCAGUUUGAACUUCAAUUAUGUAAUUAUAAUCAAUUAAAUGACAAAUAAAAGAAACUAAAUUAAUUUCUAAGUCAUUUUUUUGUUCCUUUUGAGAAAAUGCUUACUGCAAAUAGUAAUUUAUGCAAUAUAUUUCUCUUUCAUUGUUUUCAUUCAUUCAUUAUAUCAGUUCUAAUUGCAACCAAUACAAGGUCGUGUUGAGUUGGCAGAGGGAUCGCUUGGACAUAUAUAUUUAGGGCUUAAAUAAUUUGUAAUUAACUUUCUACUCUUCAUCUAUUAGUUACAACAUUAUUUAGUAAUGGAGUCAAUCCACUAUAAGUACCAUGAUUGAUCUCUUCAUUAUAUACUAUCAUGAAAACAACCUAGAUUUAUGCUUUGUCCAAAGAUCUUGUCAUUUGUGUGUUAAUCUUUUAAGAUAUUAUUAGUCUUUUUGGGUUGUAUUCGUUCACUCAAAUAUAAUCAUAUUUUAUCUCAUGACCACCAUUGCAUUUUCCAUGAUGAAAAAAGAUUAUUACUAAUGAAUUAGAAUAACAAUCAUGUGUUCCCAUCGAAUAACCCGUGAUCACAUUUCCUUUUUCUUAAUUCAUGCAAUGUCAAUGAGAGGAUAUCAUUUACUUUUUUAAUUAAGCUAUGAAUUCUGCUAUUGUAAGAAAAUUCAUGCCAUACAUAAUGUUAUACCCAACACAUCAACUUUCAGCUCUAACAAUGACUAAGCUUAAGCUUUCAACAUGCCAGUUACAUACGCACAAUCAGUUAUUUACUUAGAAUUGAGAUAAACCACACUAUGAACAUCAAAAGUGAAUUUAUCUAUAAACAAAUUUAGGGUUAAUUCAACUUGGGCCUGGUCUGAUGUAUUGCCAAGCUAGAAAACCACACACGUCUUUAUCUUUUUGGGAGUCAUACGCUCUGAUACUUAAAACAAGAUAUCUUUCCAAUUAGACUGAAUAGAUGACAUAAUAGCCCCUUGAAUUAGUUUCUCAUUUUGAUUUGUCGGACUACAAACUAUUUAGAUUACCUACUAAUAUAAGUUUUCUUCCUACAUUAUAAUUCAUCCCUAUAAUGCAACUUAGUUUUAGUUAAACCUAAAGUAAUUAGUGAGCCAAUAUUUUCUUAGUUCAUUUUUUUUCAUGCAAAAACUAGAGAGGACAAAAUAAGAAAUACAAUAAUUAAACUAUGAAAUAUUAUUAACCAAUCUGGUAAAAAAAUCACAGCAUUAUGAUAAAAUAAUUGCACUAAGAGCACAAAAUCUCAACACAAUCACCUUAGCCAAGCACUUUUUCGGCAUGUCUCAUGCAUUGUAAUUAUUUUUACAUGAUUUGAAGAGGCAACAACUAAUGUCUAAUUUGUUGAAUGCCAUAAUAUGAUAAUAUCUUAGCAUGUAAAUAAAUAUCCCUUUUAAGAUAGACCUUUAUUUGAAUAUGAUAAAUAUCUAGUAUCAGCAUAACCAACUAAUAAAGAUGAAUCACUUGAAUAAAAUAACCUCAUAUCAGUGGUUCCCCUAAGAUAUUUAAAUAUAUGUUUAAUUUAAUUCGAAUGUCUAUAUAUUGAAAAAGAGCUAAAUCUUGCUAACAAGCUUACAACGAGUGCUAUAUCAAGUUGUGUGUUAUUUGCAAGAUACAUUAAUGGCCUUACAACACUUAGAUAUGGUACUUUAGUGCAAAGAAACUUUUCAUCAUUCUCACAAGGAUGAACCAAGUCUUUAUUCACAUCAAGUGAUUUUACAACCAUCAAGGUACUCAAUAGAUGUUCUUUAUCCAUGUAAAAUUUCUUUAAGAUCUUUUUUGUAUAAGUUGGUUGAUGGAUGAAUUUCAUCUUUUAUAUGCUUGAUCUACAGGUCAAGACAAAACUUUGUUUCCCAAUACCUUUCUUUUCAAAUUAAUUCUUUAGGUAAUCUAUUGCAUUUUAAAGCUCUUUGUGAGUUCUAGUAAUAUUUAAAUCGUUAGAAAAAUAAUAAUUAUCACAAAAUCUGAUCAAGAACUUUUUAUAAAAACAAAUAGGCAAAUUAGAUUAUUUUUAUAAUAUUCUUUCAACAACUAUUCACUAAAACGAUUGUACCACAUAUGACUAGAUUAUUUUAAUCCAUAUAAGGAUUUCUUUAAUCUAAUUGAGCAAUUUUCCUGAGAAUCUCUAUAUUCUUCAAGGACUUUCAUAUAAACUUCAUCAUCUAAUGAGUUAUACAAAUAAGUUGUAAUAAAAUCCAUUAGACACAUAUCAAGUUUUUCACAUAUUGUCAGACUAAUAAGAUAUCUAACAUAAUUGUAUAUACCAUAGGAGAGUAUGUAUCUCCAUAAUUAGUUUUGAGCUUUGUGAAAAUUCUUUUGCUACAUAUCUCCAUAAUUAGUUUUGAGCUUUGUGAAAAUUCUUUUGCUACAAGUCGUGCUUUAUAUAUAAUGAUCUCAUUUUUCACAUUCCAUUUUUUCACAAAUUCGCAUUUGUAUCUUACCAAGUUUAUAAUCUCAUUUGCAUUCAAUCCACAAAAUAACUAUUAUUUAGACGCCUUAGGUAUAUGCCGACACAAAAGAUAGACAUCACUACAUUUGAGUCGAGAGUGUUGUUGGAUGCUGAAUUGGUGAUCAAAAUUGAAGUACCUAAUCUGCACAUGGAAAACAAAAUAGUACGCUGAGUAAAACUCAGUGGUAUUUUUAUAAUUCAAAUAUUUAAAGACAAUAUAAUGUAAUAUGCAUAUUUUAAUUAUAAGCACAUUUGAAUAUUUAAGACCACAUUUAUUCAUACAAUGACAUUAGCCAUUCAAUAUUCAAUUCAUAAAUACAUCAUUUCAUAUUAUUCUCAAAUCUCAUCACUUGCUAUAUAAUAGCUUUUCACAAUUUAAUAUAUAUCAUUUAAACAAUAAUAUUAUUCAAACCAUAUCCAAUUCAUGAAUACGUAAUUCAUGUGUCUCAUUUUCAUGUUUCAAUUCACUAUCCCAUUUUUAUUCACACAAAAUAUCAUUCAAUAUCAAUAAUAGUACUAUUUUAUUUAAUUACCCCUAUUAACACGACUCAGACUCGGACGGAUACACAGAUCCAACCAAUACACCAGUUCGGCACCCAGUGCAUUAUUGGAUAAAUCUGAAGUAAUAACUGCGCCCAGCGCUACAUAAAUUUGACACCCAGUAUCUCAUCGGUUAAACCAAAGCAAAUUGGCACCCAGUGCCUCAUCGACUCAAAGUCGAAGAAAUCCUUGAACUCUUCCAAGCCUAUGGCAUGCCAUCUAUAUCAGGCUCAGCCUGAUACAGUUAAUAGGGUUUAAUUUCACUUUCCAAAUACAACUAAUAUUCAAUUAUCAUAUUUGCACAUAUAUAUUCAUUUCAAUUCAAAUAAUCAAUAUAUUCAUAAUAUAUAUAUCAAUUCAAUCCAUUUAAUUAACUUUUAAUUCAAUUCAAUGUCAAAGUGCUAAAUACUCACCUCAAUACUUACCAUAUGUAUUAAAUAAAAAAUACAACAAUUAAUAACUAGUUUCGGAUUAUAGAAAUACAAACCAAGAAUUCCGAGCUAUUUCACGUCAACUUUAUCUUUCUCUUUUUUAGUUGAGGUUUCCGGUACGAUGUUAGCUACGGGAUUAAAACAAUUAAAAUUUAUCAAUACAACAUAAUUCAAUUUCAUAUUGAAUAUUUCAAUUUUUAUUCAAUAUUUUCCUAAAUUCCAAUUUAAUCCCUAAACCGAGACUAAUUUUUAUUCUUCACAAUUAAUUCUAUAUUUUCAUAAAAUUUCCACUUUAAACUAAAUUUAACUCCCUAUUUUCACUUAAAUCCUUAAAUUUCAAAAUUUUCACAAUUUAGUCUCUAUAACUCAAAAUUUACAAUUCAUUCUACAAUUUAAUCCUUUUUCAUUUCUAACUUAAAAAUCUAUCCAUUUAAUCCCUAAUACUAAAAUUAUUCAACAUUAACAAUAUUUAAAAUCUCAAUAAUUGCUAAAAUUUCGACAUGAGUCGGGUAGUACUUAACACUGGGAUUUCAAAAACAUAAAAAUUACAAGAAAAUGGGACUAAAUUGACUAACCAAUUGAACUUGGAACUUUGAAACCCCUAAGUCGUAGGUUCUUCUUUCUUUCUCUUUUUCUUUUUCUUUCUUUCUCAUUCAUUUUGCUUUUGUCUUUCUUCAUUUAUUUUACUUAUUUGUUUCAUUAUAUUCACUUUAUUAUUAUAUUAUAUAUAUUUGCUUAAAUAUUAAGUAAAACAUAUUAUAAUAUAUAUUUUAACUUUAAUUUUUUAAUAAUAUACAUAAUAAUUUUACCUUAUGCUGCCUCACUAAAGAAGCAAUGAUAUAAUUUCUUCUUUAGUCCCUUUAAUUUUUCUUUAAUUUAUAAUUCAACUUUCACCCUAUAUGAAAUUUAGUCCUUAUACCUAAUUACUUUUAAUUCAUGCAAAUUCACUUAACCAAAACCUAAUUAACUACACAACUAGCUUCAUAAAUAUUUUUAAUAAAUAUUUUUGAGUCCGAUUUACGGGAACGGAGUUUCAAAAAUGCACUUUCUGACACCCCUGACUAUCGGGUCGUUACAGUUAGGACGACGAAUGGAGGAACGAGAAGAGGAAUAGGGAAAAAGGAAAAUGGAAUUCCAUUAAGAUACCGCUAUACGGUGUUACUGUGUGUAAGUCAUGAUGUGCGAAGCUUCAGGCCUUGCAGGGGACAUUUCAAUAUUCAAACAUCAAGCUUAAAUAUGAUAUGAAUCGAUAUCGACAUUUAUUAGGUUCCGUAAAGCAACAUCACGACCACAGCCAAUAGACUCUAUGAUGCGACAUCACGACGGCGAUAAGGUCUUAUGGGGCAACACCUCUAAAGAGGUCUAAUGUGUAAGACCAUAUCUCGACCAGUAUGGUCCUUGGGGACAAUAAACACGGGAUAGUCCGCUAGGAUAGUGAACACGAUGUCAUAGAUAGAGUGUGUAAGAUCAUGGCUUGACUAUGGCAAUAUAGAGAUAGCCCGUCAGGACAUUUAGAACGAGGUAGUCUACCAUGACAUUAAAUAUAGAGAAUAUGGCGUAAGACCAUAGCUCGAUUAUUAUAACAUAGAGAGUUCAUAAGGACAUCAGAUAUGGGAUAGUCCACCAGAACGAUAAAAGUAAGAAGUUUCCUAGGACAGUGAAUAAGGAAAUUCAUGUAAACAAGGAAAAUUACAAGUAUUGGCAGUCAAUAGCCAACUAGCAGAUUUGAGAAAACCGCUAAAAUGGAACAAAGGUAAUAGAAAUGGGAAAAGAUUGCCCCUUUGAUAAACAAGAGGAACAAUAAGGCGUAUGGCAACGACCGAGUUAAGAACUAUUAGGGGAAAGAUGUACCGUUAAUAAUUCAUGGAAAGACAAUGAAAGGGGAUCUAUCCGUAGGUUACGGUUAAGGAUCUGCCAUUAAGAACCUCCAUGAAGCCCUGCAUGCUAGUGAAAAUCCUUAAGAGGUUAUUGGGAAAUUCACUCUCGACAUAAACCUUGUCGAACUUAUAGUCUGAGCGGGGAAGAUUAAUCGUCUACUCUCUGGAUCAAUGAAUUGGUAAAAAGGGGUUAGUUAGAACCCAUCGGUAGGAGGAGACGCUAAAAAGGUUAGUCCAAGUAACAAUUACGUUUGUCAAGACUAUUCUUUUUUUAAGAAAGUCUAUUGUGAGUAUACCUGUUAAGGAGUAGUUUCAUGGGGAAAAUGUCAUACAAUAGGGAUUGGUAACUAGAGUGGUAAACCAAAUAUCAGUCUACUAGAAACUAUAAGUCCAAAUUGUCCAGUUGCAAACAGAUAUAUUACAUACUAAAACCAAUAUGUUGCAAAUAGGGCAGGUUACGAAGAAGUAAUCUGAAACAACUUUUCAACCCGAAUGUAGCGUGAAAUGAUAUUUAGUCUGCCAGAGUGGCAGAGGACCUCAUUAGUUAUCUCGACAGAUAGAGUGUUGGCAAGUCCUUCGGGACUCUGGUAAGUAAGGGGGACCGCCAUGGAUUAAAUAGAUUUGAAUAAUCACCUAGGAGGGAGCUACCUAAGGGCCAUUAGGAGGGUAGGCCGAAUGACUACCUUAUACGUACAUAGUGGAAAGAAGAAUCCACAUUGAGGUAUGAAUGAAAGAAAGAAUACAAAUACAGGAAGGGCAGAGUCCGUAGAUAUGACGAGUCAUCUAAGGAACCAUUGAAAUUAGUUAAAAGGUGACAGGAUGGUUUAUAGAAAGAUUGUUUAACAAUCUAAUCACAAUAGAUAAGUUCAAAAAACAAAUCAGAGACCGUCAGGUCAAGUUGAGAGAAGUUACCUAAAAAAUAAGUACGGAGUUAAUUGUAUUUAGUUUCCUUUCUUUUACUACCCCUACAAGGCAUGGUCUAUUUGUGAGAAAUCUAGUAAGAAACUCACAAAAUGCUUUUGGAACUUAUAGAAUUUUAACAUAUAGUUGUAGGAAUUCGCGGGAUAAGGAAUUCAAUGAGGGAUUAAGCCAGACUGUAUUAGAUCAAGGAUCUACGUCAGAAAGGUGUCAUGCACAUUAGAAAAAUGUGGUGCCUUCAAAGGUUUCACCUCAGGGUCAAAUUAUUGUAGUCGAAUAGUUCCCUUAGAGUUGAGAUUGGAGAUAGUAAACUUUUAUUUUGAAUUCGUUGUAUCUAUUGUAAGAAUUUUUAUUAACAAGUAAUACAGUUUGUUUUCAAUAUAGUGAGUUUAAAAUUUGUUGAUCAAAUUAGGUUCAUUUGUAGCACCAUAUACCCAGAUCCAGUGAUUGGGUUGUGUGAGGGUGUUACAACAUCAAGUGUGCCUUUAAUACAACCAAGUUUACAACCCUAAGGUUUAAAAAAAUGUCUUUAAAGUGCAUAAGUUGACUUGAGUUGGUGUUGGAAACAAAAUUGCCUCUGCAGUAUUUUUCACCCUGUUAAGCUUCAGUGUUGCGACAGACAAGCUUCGAUGUCACGACGUCUUCGAAAGUAGGCACAAUUUUGGCUUUGGAGUUCUCGAUGUCGUGACACAAAUUAGAUGGUGUCACAACAUCCUCAAUAGUAGCCUUGGUUCCUUCACUUCAACCAUCAACUGUAGAGUCACAACUUUAAAGGCUUAGAGUCGAGAUCGAGGCUCGAUUUCAUGACACAACACACUUGGUGUCACGACAUCCUUGAAAGACUGCUCCAGGUUGGUUUCUCGUUGAAGUUUUACUCCUCUGAGGUAAUGAAGGAUUAGUGUUGCGACAUCCUUUCAUUAGUGUCACAACACCCAAAGUAGUUGAUAUUUUCCUCAAGGUUUGGUCAUAGCCAUUUCCUUACACACACUCAAAUUAACCAUUAAAGUCCUAACAGCAUAGUUUUGCCAAUUUGGGUCUCAAAAGGAUUAAAAGGACAGAAAACUAUCAUUAACACUAAAAAGUAUAAGCGAACAAAAAGCAUUAAAAAGACUCGUCAAUUACUUGAGAACAAACUCAUCAAGUGUUCGCAAGAGCCUAAUUUGAUAUAUCAUAUUACGAUAAAUCAAUUUCUUAAUCUAUUUCUAUUUUGAAAGUAUUUUAGAAUAAUAAAUAUUUUCAUGAGUUAAUUUUGACCUAUAUUUUCUUGAGUUUUAUAUGUUUUUUUUUGUUUGUUUUCCAUUUCUUAUUAAGUAUUUUUCACUUUUAGAAGUUUUCGUCCACUCUUGUAGCACUUUUUUAGUCUUGCUUAUGAAUGUAGUCUCACUUUAUAAGUGAAUUUAGGGAGUAAGUGAAUUUAGGGAUGGUUUUUUCGUCGUCCUCUCUAGUUUAGUGGAUGCUCGAUUCUUUUGCUGAUUUUGCCCACCUGUCGUUUUGGACCAUCCAGGGCUAGUUUUCUUAUUAUGAUAGUUGCUUGCAAUCACUCUAGAUAUGUCAUGCUUGAGUUAUGGCAAAGCCGAUUGUUAACAUGUUGUAAUAUUCUACUAAUGUUGUGUUUGAAGUCUUUAUCGUGUUGAUAAAGCUUGUCCUUCAUUAUCGAUGAUGGGUAUUAAUUGUUUUUUUUUCUUGAUUUGUAUGUUAGUAGUUUGCAAUGUUAAUAGUCUCACAUUGCUAACAAAUUUAAGUAUAAAUUAUUUAAAUAUACAAUUCUUUGUAACCUGGAUAAUUGACUUAAGUGCCUAGCCCAUUGGAAAAGUGGACGAGUUUACCUAUUGGGCUUUAUAUAAAUAUUUUAAAGGUAAAAAUAUGUGCAUUUCGGACUCUUGGGAUUUAAUUGUUGGUGCAAAUAAUUUGUAUAUAUAUAAUUAUUAUUUUUUAUUGUCUGAAAUAAAUUAUAAUUAUUAUUUAUUUGCAUUUGAACAAUCUUAUUCAAAUAGACAUAAUUUCAAAAAAAAAAAGAAUCUUAAUGAAAAGCACGAUUUUUCUAAAAAGUUACAAUGUUACAGAAAAAUGUAACUUACACCAUAAGUUUUGUAGUAAGUGUCUAUAUAUAAAACUCAAAAAUAUCAUUUUCACUAUUCUAUUUUUGUUGUUGUAUUCUAGAGGCAAAAUUAAUAGUCUAUUUAUUUUCUUUUAAUUUUCUUUUCUUGCACCAUAAAUUUCUUUCUUGUACUAAAUUUUUUUUUAAUAUUGUAUGGUUGUAUUUAUGAAAUGAAUUAAUAAAUUUUUUCUUUAAAAAAUAAUUAUGUAUAAGCAUGUGAUAAAUUUGACAGUAACAAAGUAUAUGUAAUGCAACAAAUUACGCACUCAAAAAUAAAUAUAUAAAAUUCAUAAAUAAUAAGGUAAAUGUACGUUUUGAUAUUUGAACUUAGUUUUAGAGUUCAAAUUGGUACCUAAAAUUUUUAUUGGUAAAUGUAUGUCAAUUUGCUUUUAAGGUUCAAUUUAAUAGCUAAAAUUUAUUUUGGUCCAAAUAGGUAUGUGAACUUGGCUUCUCGGUUAAAAUUGGUACAUGAAUUUAGCUUUUUUUUUCAAAUCAGUACUUAAUUAUAUGGACCAAUUUGAACUAUAAAGCCAAGUUUAAAUGCCUAAUUAAACAAAAAAAAGUUUAAGUAUUAAAUUAAACAUUUAAAUGAAGUUUAGGUACCUAAAUAAAUAAUCUUAAAUACCAAUUUAAAUCUUGAAACUAAAUAAAAUAAAAUUUAUUAACAUAUUAUUAAGAAUAAAAUUAUUUGAGCCAUAACAAUUCAAGGAAAUCUCAAAGAAUCCUUGAGAAAUAAAAUAAAUGAAUCUUCUAUUUUUGCAAUUUUUAAAAAUUAUAUUCAUGAAAUUUAGAUAAGUUUUCCGUACUCCAUUGAUCUUUAGUAAACUUUUAAAAUGAAAUAAUUUUUUACUUAAAAAAUUAUUUAAGCAUACAACACUAAGAAUCUUUAGAAAAUUCCUAAAGUGCAGUCUGAAAAAUCCUUUAGUCCGACCUCCACCUCACGGAUCUUGAGAAUUUUUUUUUUUAAAUGAAAUAGAAUUUACAUUCUGAAUAUUUUUUAAUCCACAACACCCCAUGAAUUUUUAGAAAUUUUUUAACAAAUCACUUGGUUGGCACCUUGUAAAUCUUUUUAAAAACCGAAAUAAAAUUAUUUUUCGGAAAAUAAAAAAAUCAAUUUUAUAUUCCAUGUUUGGGCAAUAGACAUAUACACCACUCAAUCACAUACUAUUAGCUACAAUUUGAUAGUAAAAACAAGAAAAAGAAAAUCUCAAAUUUUAUACAACCAACACAAACUGCUGUAAAACUCCACAAUUGUUAAGAGCAAUCCAUUGUGGGAUUCACGCAAAUUGAAAUAAAUCCGCAUAUACUAGAGUUUGUUUCCUUUUUUCAUGAUGAUGUUGCAGAUGAGGGAGAAACAGUGAAGGGUUCUUGUUCUUCACAGGUGAGCAUAUCAUGAGGACCAGCUUCUUCUCGGCCAACUCCCAAAAGGUCAAGGUAAUAAAGGUAAUGAGAGAUCAUAUUGUUCAUGGAAUCACUAUCACCUUGACCACAAACUUGGUCACCAUAAAGAACAUUCAUGGUGGUUCCAAAACCUGGAACCCUCUUGGCCAAGGUGUCGUUCUUGGUUGGUUUCCAGUUGCCAACGAAAACGUCAUGGGCUGAGGGUUGGUGUUUCUUCAUCGGCGUCAUCCACCUCCACAUUGCUGUCUGGAAAGCCAAGGUUGCGUUGUCUUCUAAGUAUUCUGGGUGGUUCAACAAGUCCACCUUCAAAGCCUCUCCAGUUUCCCCAUAGUUGUAGUUCCAGUAGAUAGGCAAGGCACCACGGCCAUGAUAUGAGACUCCUGGUGUGCAAGGAUAGGUGUAUUUAUAGUAAUCAUCGCAAUAUAUUUUGCUAGGGCUCAUUUCUUUGUUGUAGCAAAGACCCCAAGCCAAUGGUCCCCCGGUAGCGACUCCAUAGCCACCUGAAAUUAUUAUAAACCAGAGCCAUUGUUCAAGAAUAACAAACAGUUAGAUAAGCCACAUUCGUUUACAUUGCUCUUGGAUGAUCAAAAGUAAUAUUAAACACUUUUAACUAAGCACAUAUUUACUUACAUGAAGUUUUGCUGCCGACAUGUCCAAGAAAAGCAGCGACUUCCUUCAUAUUCUGGAGCUUUUCCCCGGUGGUACAAAAUCCAUGAGGCUGAUACUGAGCAGCAGCAGUAAUGAAGGAAUGGUAAUCCCAGAACCCAACCGCAUGUGCUACCGGCGUGUUACGCUUCGCAAAAAGGUCCUCAAACUGGUAAGUUUGGAAGUAAUCAGAAAUGGUAUGGUUGCAACAAUACUUUGACCACCCUUUACAUUCCCACCCUUUGUCACACAGCUUCUUGCCCUUUACCAUCUUCACCAAUGGCUUCAACGAUUCCUGGCAGUUGGCCAGUGCCACCAGCAUUGCCGCCACUGAAAAAAGAACCAGCCAUUUGGCUUCCAUUAUCAAAGAUACAAAGCAAAAUGUGGUGGUCGUGGUUUGGGUUUGGAGUGGAGAAACCAACACUGGGAGUUUAUAGUAAAGAUUCGGCGAAUGUUUUUGAGUGCUGCAGUGAAAGUGUUAGAAAGUGAGGUUAGAACUGAUUAGGGGAAGGGCGAUUUUCAGGGUUGAUGAAUGAUGGGCACUCACACUCACACUAGUGUCAAGUUUUGCUUGCGUUUUAUGCUUCUUAGAGUGCAAGCAACGAAAAGCUUAAAGCAAAAUGUUGAUGUUCUAUUCUUACUCUGCACACUUGGCUUGGCUUCUAGGAUUCAUCGGUUCGGUUUUAAUCAGUUCUGGAUGAGAUAAAUUUUUUUUUUUUUUCAAAAUAUGAGCUUAAUUCAAAUCGCCAUUUUUAUCGUUUUAGAUUAUUGAUUAAUUUAUUUUUAAAAAACAGUUUUAUAUAACAUUUUAAAAUUAUUUUUAAAUUUAUGAACCGAAACCAAAAUCAAACUAAAUUUAAUAAAAUUGAAUCAGACCCUGGAAUUACUUUUCAAUUUUUCCAUUUCUUUCCUCAGCCCUAGACUGGCUUGGACCUGGACCACUUGGGGUUUUUUUGGGAUUCAUAAUUCAUUGUACUGAAACUUUUGCUUUUGGGCCAAAUACUUCUCAUGGGCUGGAUGAAAACAGUGUUUGGUUACUCUCAACAGGGGAUGAUGUCAUAUUUGGUAUCUAUUCUUUUAUAAAAUGUUUCAAUAUGAUAUUUAUAUUUUGAAAAUUUUUAAUGUAAUACUUGAACUAUCAAUUUAUGUAUUAUUUGGUAUUUUUAUUUUCAUAAAAUGAUUGAUAUUAUAUACUUUAAAAAUAUUAAAUGUGAUGCAUAAAAUAUCAAUUUGUGCAUUAUUAUAAUACAUAAAAUUAACACCCUAAAUAAAUCAUAUCAAGCCAAUUUCUUUUCGAGAUUUCGAAUGUUGAAAUGUUAGAAGACUAUGGAGGAUUUGCAGUUCUCAUUGUUAAAACAAAUUUUCAUCGAUGUUGAACGCUGGUCUCAGUUCCAUUUCAUACGUUUUCGCACAACUUGGAUUGAAGUUACAGGCGCUCCUUAGCACGCUUGGAACCUAGAGACGUUCAAAAGCGUUGCUAUUUAUUAGGGUGAUUUUAUUUCCAUGGAGUCUAACUCGCUUAAUAUCGGCUAAUCAGUUAAAACAAAUUGAGGAACUCAUUAUUCUUGAAUGUGGAGAUGAACAAUUUCCGAAGUUGGGGAUUCACAGCCUUUGAAUCUGGAGGUGGACGUGCUAAAUUUUCAUAAGGUCAUUUUGAUUUUGCUAAAGAAGAUUCGUCUGGUGGUGAAAGGAGUUGAGAGGUUGAAGAUACAUUUAAUGAAGAGGUGGGUAGUGAAAAACCCAAUAUGGCAGCUCGAGAGGUUCUAGGAAAUCAAAGGAAUUAGCAGAGAACUUAGACCCAACUAUUGCUAUUGCCUCGAGAAAUGAUUAGAACGAGGCUCUGGGCCUGAUUUGUUGAAGGCAAGUUCACACUUUGGUCACGAUCAAAUGGUGGGUUGCGGAGCAGAUUUGAAAGCUGUGAAUUGGUCGGCUGAGGAGAUUGUUGAUACGAAUUUAAAUAUGAUUGAACCUAAGUGGACUUGGGUUGUCAGAAAGGGAACAAUUCGGGUCGCGAAACCCUUUGCAAUUCGUUAGUUAGGAGUCCUACAAGUAGAGUUAGGGUGGAGGACUCCAUGGGAGUAGCAAUGCAAAACACUGUAGUGCAUAAUCCCUAUUCGACGAUAAUUACUGUUGAUGGUGUGAAGAAGAAGGUGAGAUCAUUGGCAGAGAUUGAAGAGAAAGUGAUGACUUUGGUUAAAAAAAAAAAAAGAAGCAAAAACGUAGAGGUAGAAAACCAAUCAUAUCUAAAGGUGUGGUGUCUGGUGAAGAAGCAAAGAACGGAUGAUCGUAUUGUUAAUGGUUCCCUUACUGACUCUGUCAUUGGGAAUCGCAAGUAUAGUGAAGGAAGCUAAGGAAACAUUUCAAUUUGCGAAGCUGCUCGAGGUGAAUGCGAGUGAUAGUGAGGAUUUAAUUAUCAUUGAGGAUCAAGAAGCUGGAGUUUCAGAUAUGAGUACGAAGAUGUUUCAUCUCUAGAAAAUGUUUGGGGUGUUGGGAAGGUGUCAUAAAGUAGGGUAAUCAACGUUUUAGUGUUGUGUACCCAUUUAUGAUAUGGUGAUGAUGCAUGUUUUAUGCAAUACAAAAUUGUUAAGGUGAAGGAAGCUCACUGAAUUGAGUUUGCGACUUUCUUUGUCCUGACUUGGGUUGUGAAUAAUGGGGUUGGUUUGGAUAUCCCUUUAUGUUUUUCUUCGGCAGGGAUCGUUUUGGUGUUACUUUUGAGACUCUUGAUUUGUAUGUUUUUUGGUGUUUAUUUUGAGGUGGGUCACAUAUGUUGAUAUUGCAUUUGGAUUUUUCCUACUCUACUUUCUAUGGAUAUUACUAAAAUUUUAUUUUUUGUCACUAAAAAAACUAUAAUUAAUAAAAAUUUGACACAUGAAUAAUAUAACAUUACAUAAAAAUUUAAAUAAAAUAAAAUAACUAAUUCUAAACAACAUAAAUUUAACUUUAAAAAAAAUUUAAUUUCAUUGUUUGAGACCUUUGUUAGAAGAGAUAAGUUUAACUUUGAAAAAAAAUCAAUUUCAUUGUUUGAGAUUUUUCUUAGAAGAGAUUUGAAAAGUAAGGCAGUAAUAGGUUUGUUCUUGUAAUUUUAACUCAUAAUUUUUCCAUUUUUUAAAAAACCCUAAAUUUGUCAAAAUAUUUUGAAAUUUAUACAUGUCGAAGUUUUUUAAAUUUUAUGUCUCUUAACUUGAAUAGAAAGUUAAAUAAUUUAAUUUCGACUACCAUAAUAUUCUCUGAAUUAUGUUUCUAAAAUAUGUGGGUUCAUGUUAAGCAAAGAAAGUGAAGUUUUUUAAACAACAUUUGGUUCAAAUUAAGAUCAAAUUUCUGUAAUUAGGAUUUCAUGUGUAGCAACUUUAAUUUCAAGUGAGAAAGAUGAAUUUAGUAUUUAUUUUAAUGGAGAAUAUGAUAUAUUUUUUUCUUAUGGAAGUGGUUUAUUUACUUCCUUUUAUUAACUAUACCUGGUUUAGGUUUAAGUUUAGUUAUUUGUUUUUUUUUAUAAUUUAAUUUAAUUUUUUUUGUUUUAUUUAGUUUCCACAUAAUUAUAUAUUAUCCAUAUGGAAUUUAUGACUUGGAAAAAGAAAAGUUUCCACAUGUUGAAUUUUAAUUGGUUAGUUUAGCAUUCACUAACAAUGUUAAUUCCAGGUACUAUAAUAACACACAAAUUCAUAGUUUAGGUACUACAUUUGACAUUUUCAAAGUACAGGCAUUAUGUUGGACAUUUUAUGAAAGUACAUGUAUCAAAUAAUACACAAAUUGAUAAUACAUAUACCAUAUUGGACAUUUGAUAAAAGUACAAGCAAACGUGAUAUUAUCCCUAAUGUAAAAUUUUGUUUUUAGGUUAAAAUAUGUUAUAAGUCUUUGUAUUCUUCGUAAAUUUGAAAUUUAAUCCAUAUACUUUUAUUAAUUUAAAAUUCAUAUCAAAUUGUUAUGAUUGUUAAAAUUUCUUUGUUGAAUUUGUUGGUAUGACAUUUUGAAAUAAUAAAAAUACUUAUUUGAUAGUCAUGUAACUAAAAAAAUUACCGAAUUCGAUAAAAGAAUUUUAAUGGCGAUAAUAAUUAGACUUGCAUUUUUAAAUUAGAAAUUAAAAAAAACUAAAUUCCUUGAAAGAAAAAUAAAAAAUUAAAUUUCAAAUUUAUUAAGAAUAUAUAGACUGAGUAAUUUAAUAUUUAUAUGUUUAAUUUUGAAGUAAAUAGUUAAUUUUUGGGGGGUGAAUUACACAAGAGAAGGGAAAGACCCUAAUAGCAACACGACUAACGUGACUUAAACUCAAAUCACACCUGAAAUAAUAAACACCCUAAUUAUUAGAUCAAUACAUGAAUUUAAAUAAUUAAAAUUUUAACUAUCCGUAAUCUUAGAUGUUAAAAUGAAAUUGCGUUACCAUAUUUUGAAGUAACGAAAAAAAAAACAGAAAUUUGCAAUUUCUAAAUCUUGAAAGUUUUUUACCAUUAUAUUUUUAUGUUCAAUUGUAGUACAAUGUACAGAUCGAUCUAAUUAAUUACUUCAUUCGUAUUAUCAAUUUUAUUAAAGACUAGCUUGUGUUUAUCUGUUGGGGAAAAAAAAGGUGAGAAUGUGUUGUAAUUUUCGAAAAUAUAAAGUACCUCUCCGACUGGACCACACACAUGAAAUGAAAGUAAUUAUGUAUGAAAAUUGAAAAUAUAUGUUAUGUGCGGCAUGCAAUUACGAGGUUCAUUCACACUAGAGCAGGGCCUUUACGAAUGUGACAUAUGGCCGACCUUGCUUUUAAUGGAGUUGGAUGCUUUCUCUUCUUCAUCAAAUGCAUGUAUGUCAAUGCUUUUCUUCCUCAUUUUCAACAAAAUAAGCUCAUUAAAAGAUUAAAUGUCAUUUUCAAUAAAAAAUUUCUUUGAGAAUGACCUUUCUUGAUGUUUUGAUAUCCAAGAGAAAAACCUUUGUUGAGGUAUUCAUAUCCAUUCUUAUUUUGAGAAAAAUGAAUCAUUGUUUUUGGUUGGGCUUUUUCAUCUAAAUAAUAUAAAAAAUAAAAUUAAUAACUAAAAUAAUAUGCUUAUAAGAUUAUUUACUAAAAUGGUAUAAUUUUAUUGGUGUCGUCUGUCAAAUUGGCAGCACCGGAUUCAAAUGCAAUGAUCUAAAGUAUUUAGAGACUUGAUAUGCAAAUUUACCCUUUUGAGUGGCUACUAAAAAAAAGUGAAAGGGUGCCUCCUAACGGUGUGGCGGCACCAAACUUUAAAUGUGACUAAUUACCUUUUAAGCUCUCUUUAUUUAUUAUUUUAUUUUUAUUCCCCUUCAACUCACUACAUUGUAUUUAAACAAGCCCUCAACCUAUUUUUGUAGUUAAAUAAGCUCUUAAUAUAUGAUUUUUACUUAUAAAAGCCUUUUAUUUUAAUAUUAAAGUAAAUAUAUUUUGAAUUUCAAGCUCUUAUCUUUAUUUUUUGUUGAUGCAAUAAAAAUUAUAUACACUUUAACAUCAACAUAAAAUCUAAAAAAGUAAUCAAAAAUUUUAAAAGAGUAGUUAAGAAAAUCAUGUAUUUAAGGACUCUCGAGAAAUUUUAAAAUUUUAUUUUUUUAUUUAAUAAACUAUUCUCAUCAAAUUCACAUAAACAUAAAAUGCGAAUUAGUUUAUAUAUUUUUAAAUAGCUAUACUUUGGGUAAAAUAUAUUUACUUUAAUAUUAAAAUAAAGGGUUUUUAUGAAUAAAAAUCAUAGGUUAAGAGCUUAUUUAACUACAAAAAUAGGUUAAGGGCUUGUUAUUGUUUUUACAAAAAAUAAUUUUUAAUAACAACAAUAUCCUAAACUAACCUCUUUUUUUUUUAUAGAAUAUUAGGCGUGAGAAUGAGGUAACAUAGUUCGAAGUCAUGCUAAAAAUUGUUUAACAAACAUUAUAGGUUCUGAUUAUAUAUAUGUUCUUUUUGACAUAAUGCUUAGAACUUAUAAAAGUUGUGUGACCCAAAUUCUAAUAGAUUGCUUGCAAGUCAAGUUAAACAAAAUAUAUUUUUUUCUAGAAGAUUUAGUAUUUAUGAAUAUAAUAUAUUUAGCAUUUAUUAGCAUAAUAUAUUUGACUUUGAUUAGAAUUAGGAUUUUUCAACUUAUAAAUAGAUGUAGUCGAAACUCUUCUUGUAAUCAUUUUUCGAAUUCAAUAUAGUGAAUUUUCUUUUUCUCUGCCCGUGAUUUUUUUCCCAAACGGGUUUCCACAUAAAAAUCUGUGUGUAACGCCCCAAUUUUCGGGAAUUCUGUAAAUGUUGGCAUAGGCUUAAUUAUGUUAGUGGACCUUUAGAAGGCCCAAGCUUAAGAUAGAACCUGGCAAUUUUAGUUAAUUUUUGUUCCAUAAGAAAAAGGGGGUAAAAUUAUGAAAUAGAACCUAUGUGAAAAAUGUUUGAAAAUGCUAUAGGCUAAAUUGAAGUGGCCAAAUAAAUAGGAGUGCAAAAUAGGAGGAUUUGCAUGACAAACCUCACAUUUUACAUGAAGUGGCCAGCCAUCAUGUUGUUGUAGACAAUAUGAGCACUUGAUAUCCAUAAUUCAUGGUACAAAUUGAUAAUGGGUUAGGUAAAUGUUCCAUGAUAAUGGAUUAGGUAAAUAUUCCAUGAUAACGGGUUAGGUAAAUGUUCCAUGAUAAUGGUUUAGGUAAAUGUUCCAUGAUGGGCAUUUCAUGUCUUUUGUAUUAAAGAAUUAAAUGGAUGAAAUAUGAAAUUUUAUUAAAAGAAAAAAGGGGUGAAAAGAAUAAAGUUUGUCCAUCUUUGUUCAUCAUGGCCGAAAGUUAGAGAAGAGAAAGGAGAGGAGAAAGCUCUUGAAUGUUCGGUCACUUGGGGAAGAAAAUUGAAGGUAAGUUCAUGGUAGUUUGCUUCUAUCUUGAUGUUCAUGAGUUCUUCUUGAUUCUACCUUAACUCUUGAAGCAUAUUUUGGUUUUUAGUUGUGUUGUGAGCAUUUAGUCAUGAAUUAAAAUGAAGGAAAUGGUUGUUGUUUCAUGUUCUUCUGAUGAAAAAUGGAAGAUAGGUGAAGUUGAGCCAAACAAAUGAGCAUGCAUGUGUCUUAGAUGCUAAGGGGAAAAAUCAGCUAACAUGUUGUGCUUUAAAAUGAUGAAAUGGAGAUUAUACUUAAGUAAAAUCAUAGAUAUGUGAUGAUUGAUUGGUGAUAUACAUGUUUAAAUAACAAGCAUACAAGUUAGGUGUGAAAGAGUGAUUUGGUAAUAAAUCUGCUUGGGACAGCAGCAGUAAUGUGACUUUGGAAAAUCACCAUAAAUUGUGAGAGAUGAGUUAGAAGGUGAAUAAAUUAUGUAAUUAAAGCUUAAUGAGUCUAGUUUCAAAUGAAAUAAACGAGAACAUAUUUUGAAUUCUGUACAAUGAGAAAUUUGAUUCGUAAUGAAGAGUGGUCAGAUUAGUCAAACAGUGAAACAUGGGAAACUUUGAGAAAUAUCUGGUAUUGAUUGGCUAAACCAAAAAUUCUGAAAAUUUUAUGGAUAGAAGAUAUAUCAGUCUAUUUUCAGGGAAAAUUAAUGGAACUUGAUUUGGAGUUUCGUAGCUCCAGUUAUAAAUAAUUUAGUGACUGUUGCUCAGGAAGACAACUUGUAGUGAAAUUUUGAUUAUGUGGUAAACAUUGACAAAAAAUUUGUUAAUGAGUUGCUUAUUGAUUUCUUAUAAGCUUACUAUGAUCUGUAGGUGUGGUUGGCCGAAUAUUGUAAGGGGUUAAUACGUAGUUCAUAUUUGAAUAGUUAGAUUAACGUGUUAGUAAUCCAAUUGUAGGCGGUUCGUGUGUGGAUCUCGUCAGCAUAUCAUCGCAAACAGGUGUGUAACUAGCACCCUCUUAUAGACUAGAUCGGCACAAGACGAAAAGCCGAAAUGCCGAAAAGCCGGUAUUUUGAGAUCUUACGAGUGUGUGAAUGCUCAUGAGAUUAAUAGUUUGAUGUAUAUGGUAAAUUAAAGUGAUAAGACUGCAGAGUGCGCGAUUCUGUGCAUUUCGAUAUUUUUGGGCUUAAUGGGCCAAAAACGGGAUAACGGGCCAACGGACCCAAAUUGGUAAGAAAACGCGGUAAGUGUUUCUGAUCGUACGUAAAUGGCUAUGUUAUGUAUGAAAACCUUAAGAAUAGUUAAAUUACUUGAAUACCCCUAUGUAUGCAAAACUACCAUUAUACCCCUAGGGUUAAUUUUGACUGAAAAGCAUGACGAUCUGAUUCUGUAUAAUGUAUGCCAUGAUUAUAUAUCAUUGCAUGGGGACUUGGGUUAUACUAUGGAGGAAGCGUCCUGGUGGCUAUGCCAUAAUUAUCUGAUCUGGUGGCUCUGCCACAUAUAUCUGUCCUAGUGGCUAUGCCACGAUUAUCUGAUCUGGUGGCUCUGCCACAUAUAUCUGUUCUGGUGGCUCUGCCACAAUAUCUAUAUCUGGUGACUUCGUCACAAUAUCUGGCAGCCUCGCUGUGAUUUCUGUGGUGUGAAGCGGUUGAGUGGGUCGAGUAGUCUCUCCACAUGGUGUAAGGCUGGUAUGGGGGUGUUAUGGAUGAAUCUGGGUUGGGUUUCUGCAUAAACAUGUAAUAUAUGUUCUAUUCUGUUAUGGGCCUAUGGGCUUUAUUCUGAAUUCUGUUCUAGGCUAAGGCCAACUUAUUCUAUUUUUGUGGUUUGAGCUGAUAUAGGCUAUGGUUGGGUUAAUUUACACACUAAGUUUUCCCAAACUCACCCCUUUUAUUUCCAUCCACGCAGGUAAUCCCCAACCAUAGUGGGCUUGGAGCUGUGAGGGAAUUUGGAGUGGCCACCCGUUCUGAAAGUUUGAUUUACUUCUGGUGAACUGGACAUCCUUUUAAUGACGUUUGAGGUUUUAGGCUUUUAAAUGUAAUAAGGCCGCUUAUUUAUUUUUGAUGGUUUUUAUAUGUUUUAUUAAGAUAGGUAAUAUUUAUAUUUAACUGUUGAAAUUGGAUAGCUUUAGGGCGCGUUUUCAAAAACAACAAUUGGUUUUAAAAUAACACGACAACAAGCAAAGCUUCCUCAAUGAAAGUAUUUUCCAAAAUUAAUCAUUUUCCUAAAAAUUACUUAAUCAAAUCGGUUUCCUAGAAAUAUCCAUAACGUUAAGGUGUGGCAAUGGCGGUAUGCAUGUCUAGGAUUGGAUCCGAAGGGAGCUUGGUACUUAAGCAGUCCGAUGGACUCACCACAUCUUUUCUAGUUUCCUACCUGGUGCACAGCUUCCAUUCACUUUAACCUAUAAUGAAAUUAUCUUUUAAAACACUAAGUAAGUUUUUCUGGAUCAACAAUAUAAAAUGUUUUGAACGCUUCGAUGUGGCAUGUCGGAUCCGGUCAUAACGUCUGGGCCGGGUUUGGGGUGCUAUAUUGUGUGUUCUUAAUUUUUAUUUCUCUUUUCUUUGCGAUAUAUUGUCAUUACCGACGUUCUAUUCUUUACAAGGUGGUAUCAAAGCUUAUGGGUUGUUCAUCUCGAUCACGGUAAUGACAUCUUUGAAGUAUGAAAUUCAGCUGUUGGAUUGCAACACCAGAUUUGCGUUGUGGAAGAUUAAUAUGCAAGCAGUUCUUGCGCAGAUAGAUCUAGAGGAUGCCCUGCUAGGGAUAGAUAAGAUGCAUUCAACAUUAAUGGAUGAAGAGAAAAAGCGUAAAGAUCGAAAGUCAUUAACACAAUUAUAUCUGUAUUUGUCUAAUAAAAUUUUGUAAGAUGUGAUGAAGGAGAAGAUCGCCGCUGUAUUAUGAAAGAAGCUGGAACAAAUAUGUAUGUCGAAAACUCUAACCAGCAAGUUGUAUAUGAAGCAACGUCUUUAUGCUCUCGUUUGGAGGAAGGUGCGUUUGUUCACGAACAUUUAACAGUGUUUAAAGAAAUUUUCUCAAACUUGGAAGCCAUGGAGGUUCAGUAUAAUAAGAAAGAUUUAGGGUUGAUUCUACUUUGUUCGUUGCCUCCGUCUUAUUCAAUUUUUAGAGACACGAUUUUAUAUAGUUGUGAGUCUCUCACAAUUAAUGAGGUUUAUGAUCUUUUGACCUUGUAUGAUAAGAUGAAGCAUCUUGUGGUUAAACCAGACUCUAAGGGAGAGGGUCUCAUUGUUCAUGUGAGACAAGAUCGAAAUGCUGAUGAUGAUCGUGGAAGGAUACAGGAUCGGAAUCCUCAUAGUAUAUUUUAGGGUAGAUCGAAGUCUUCAAAUAAAGGUAAAACUUAUAACUUUUGCAAGAAGAAAGGGCACAUUAAAUCUGAGUGCUAUAAGCUAUAGAACAAGAUCAAAAGGGAGGCUGCGAAUCAAAAGGAAAAAUAACCAGAAAAUUUCGGUAAAGCUGAUGUUGCAGAAGACUACAGCGAUGGUGAACUUCUAGUCGUUUCUGUCAAGAAUUCUAAAGUGAGCGAGGAGUAGAUCCUUGAUUCGGGUUGCACCUUUCACAUGAGUCUCAAUCAGGAUUGGUUUACAACUUACAAAACAGUGUUUGAAGGUGUUGUUUUGAUGGGAAAUAAUGCUUCGUUUAAAAUUGUAGGUGUUGGAACAAUUAAAGUUAAGAUGUUUGACGAAGUUGUCAGAACACUUAGUGAUGUGCGACAUGUUUCAGAAUUAAAGAGAAAUUUAAUUUCGUUGAGUACUCUUGAUUCAAAAGGGUAUAGAUACACAGCUGAAAGUGGGGUUUUGAAUAUUUCCAAAUGUUCCAUUGCUUGAUGAAAGGGCAAAGAAAGACUGCCAAGUUAUAUGUUUUGCAGGAUUCUACUAUUAUUGGUGAUGCAACUGUCGCUUCCUUUUCCUUUUCAGAUGAUGAUAUUACUAAACUUUGGCAUAUGCGUCUAGGGCAUAUGAGUGAGAAUGACAUGAAAAAAUUGACCAAAAGAGGACUUCUUGAUGGGCAAGGAAUUUGCAAACUGAAUUUCUGUGAGCAAUGUGUUUUUGGAAAGCAAAAAAGAGUUCGAUUCACCAGAGGAAUCCAUAACACGAAGAGAACGUUGGAGUAUAUUCAUUCUAAUCUGUGGGGGCCAUCUAGAGUGCCUUCAAGAGGUGGAGCUAAUUAUAUGCUAACCUUUAUUAAUGAUUUUUCUAGAAAAGUUUGGGCGUUCUUCUUGAAGCAGAAAAGUGAUGUGUUUUCCACAUUUAAGUCUUGGAAAAUUAUGAUUGAAAAAUAGACUGGAAAAUAAAUAAAAUACCUCCGUACAAACAAUGGAUUAGAGUUCUAUUUUGAUGAGUUUAAUAGAUUGUGCAAGUCAGAAGGGAUCGUAAGACACUUAACAAUUCGCCAUACUCCAUAGCAAAAUGGCGUUGUAGAACGAAUGAACAGAACGAUCAUGGAGAAGGUUCGAUGUAUGUUUUCAAAUGACAACUUAUCAAAGUUGUUUUGGGCCGAAGCAACCUCUACUGCAUGUUUUUUGAUCAACCGAUCCCCAUCCGUUGCCAUUGAGAAAAAGACUCCACAAGAGGUAUGGUCUGGUAAUCCUGCUAAUUAUUCUGAUUUAAAGAUCUUUGGGUGUCCUACGUAUACUCAUGUUGAUAAUGGAAAAUUGGAACCGAGAUCCAUUAAAUGUGUUUUUCUUGGUUAUAAAGUUAGUGUAAAAGUGUAUAAGUUAUGGUGUCUUGAAAAUAAAAAAGUUGUAAUUAGCAAAGAUGUUGUUUUUGAUGAAACUGCUAUGCUACCUUACUUAUCUCUUAAAGACUCUUCCAAUAAAGAAAAUCAAAAGCAGGUGGAGCAUCAGAUUACUACAGAGUCGACUCCUCAAUCCAGUACAAAAAUUGAGAAUAGAGUUGCUUAUUCACCGCAAUACUCUAUCGCCAAAAACAGAACUAGAAGAGAAAUUAAACCUCCAAAGAAGUAUGCUGAGGCUGAUCUAGUUAGUUAUACUUUAAAUGUGGCUGAAGAUAUAGAUGCGAAUCAAGAACCAUCUAAUUAUUCCGAGGUGAUUAGUUGUGAAGACUCAGAAAAGUGGAUGUUUGCUAUUGAAGAGGAGAUGGAAUCACUCCACAAAAACAGAACAUGGGAUCUUUUAAAACUUCCUAAAGGUAAAAAGGUUGUCCGUUGUAAAUGGGUAUUUAAAAAGAAAGAACGGACUCUAGGAGUUGAAGAACCCAGAUAUAAAGCAAGGCUUGUUGCAAAGGGUUACAGUCAAAUUCCAGGAGUGGACUUCACAGAUGUGUUCUCCCCACUUGUUGAGCAUAGUUUGAUUCGAGCUUUGCUUGGUAUUGUGGUCAUGUAUGACUUGGAGCUUGAGCAGUUAGAUGUAAAAACUGCAUUUUUGCAUGGAGAAUUUAAGAAGAAUAUUUACAUGUAACAACCAGAGGGUUUUACAGUCUCAGAAAAAGAGGACUACGUUUGCUUGCUUAAAAAGUCCCUUUACGGUUUGAAACAGCCACCAAGACAGUGGUACAAGAGGUUGAUUCCUUUAUGACUUCUCACGAUUUCAAAAGAAGUAGUUUUGACAGUUGUGUUUACUUUAAGAAAAGCAGUGAUGGUUCUUUU